RNAcentral lists this long non-coding RNA (79855 nucleotides) under Cucumis sativus (cucumber). RNAcentral's name for it is "long non-coding RNA (CSAT_LNC002698)". The record is from RNAcentral. Lineage: Eukaryota; Viridiplantae; Streptophyta; Magnoliopsida; Cucurbitales; Cucurbitaceae.
AAACGAAGAUCGAAGCCGACGAUGACAGAGUCGAUCUCUCCUACUAGGGCGAUAGAUCUGACGACAAAAGCCGAUCGUCCCUAGAAGAAGCUCAAAAGUCAUUCCUGCAAAAAAAAAAAAAAAAAAACAAAAAAAACAAAACAACACAAAAAAAACAAAACAAAACAAAACAGAAUUAAAAAAAGCAAAACAAAAAAAAAACACACACACAAAAAAAGAGAAAAAAGAGAAAGGGAGAAGAAAAGUUUUCUAUACCUUUCUGCUGAUUGGAUGAGGUAUAAGUGAGUAGGGUGUGAGUCUAUUUAUAAGUCCAACAAAUCCAAUUUUUAAAAGGAUUAGGAAUGAUAUUUAAUUAUUUUUUUUAAAAAAAAAACAAAUCCAAUUCCUAAAAGGAAUAGGAUUGAUUUUAAAUAUAUAUAUAUAUAUAUAAAGAAAAGAUAAUCCAAUUAUCUUAUUUUAUUUUAAAUUAUUUCUUUUUUUUUUGUUGGAUAAAUCUCAAGUUUAACUUUUAUUGAGAUAUUUAAAAUAUUUAAAAAUUUCAACAUUUAAAAAUAUAUAUAUAUAGAUAAAUAUUCUCAAUUUCAAAAUUCAAGUUAAAUUAACUUGCAUAUAUGACCUCAUUUUUAUCAUGAAUUUAAAUCGGAGCAUAAAUCCAACUUUACCUAAGAUUGAGGACCUGAUUUUUUAUCUCAAAUUAAAAUUGGUCAUUCCAAAUUCUUAUGCAUCCCCAAGAUAAAUUAAGGUACGGUAGAAACUUUAUCCUUAUUUCAAAAUUAAAAUUUUGGUUAUAUUCCAAAUUUUACUUAAAAAAAAUCAUCAUAUUAAAAAUUUUUUUUAUCCUCAAAUAAAAUUAAGUUAGGAAUAAAACUUUGAAUUUUUUUAAGGUUUGGCCAUAUUCCAACCCUUAUUUUAAAUUGAAAUCAAACUCACGUACUAAAUUCAAGUUUGAUUAAUUUGAUAUAUUGAAUUGAGUAAAAAAAAAAAAAAAAAAGAAGCUCGUACUUUGACUUCAAAUUUAUCUUUUCGAGAUUCAUUCACCCAUAUACGUGCAUAAAUCUCGAAAAGGGGGCAUUUGUUGAAUAAGAAAUUUUGAGACUAAUCACUAGUUGCCAUAUCAUUUAUUAAGUUAAUGAUGAAAAGUACAAAUAAUUAAAUUUGGGACUAAUUAAAAUUGACAUAUGCUCCAAAUUAAAGAGUUGAAAAUAAAUAAAAUGGUCAUUCUAAUAAUGCCACAUGUUUUCAUAUUAAUAGUUGGAUUAAGUUAAUCAUUUUAGUUCAAUUAAAUAUUAUUUACUUGGACUAAGUUCAAUUAAGCCCAAAAAAUAAGCUUAAUUGAACCCAAAGACUAAAUAUAACCUAAGUCCAUAUGGUUGAGCCCAUGGGUCUGGUCCAUGGACCAACCAGGUUCAAACCCAUAAAGCCCACCAGUGAAAUCUAUAAAUAGAGGAAUUCUCCUCAUUUGUAGGGGUUGGAAAUUUUGACUCUAGAAGAUCCAGAGAGAAUUCUUCAAAGAGCUAGAAGACUCCCUAACUCCUGAAGUCGACCAUCCUCGAAGAUUGAAGCUUCUUUAAAGAUACAAGCUUUCUUCAAGGCUUCAACUUCAAGAACAUCACGUGCUUCGCUUCCUCAAAUCAAGCUGAAGCAUCCAGUUGAGAGAGAAUCAGAGGAUCAAAUUCUAGAGAUUGAACCGCAUCGCAUCAAAUCAACAAAAUACAACAUCAAACUCAAGUUCAAGUCCACGAAUUAAAUUCUCCGAAAAUCUCGUGCGAACACAUAUAUUUCUAAAUAAAUUUAUUCGACGAAAGUGGCUAGAUUGGUGGGUUCGACGGCGAAGGCUUGUUGUGGCAGCAACGACAACAGUGGUUGGAGUGUGGAAUCGACGACGACAAGUGGCAAAAAAUUGGAAGGCAAGGGUUCUUCAUAACGACUCGGUAGCCCACUUCGUUCGACGAGAUUUUUUUGCAUUUUUGGUAGAGUGAGAAAAAAUUGCAUUAAGACUUCAUUCGACGACAUCGUUUUUGCUUAAGAGAAAAUUUGAUGUUUUUACUUAGUUGUAAUUGCGUGAGAGAGGGAAAUUAAAAAAUUUUGAAAUUUGAGGUUUUUUCAUUUGAAAUUUUUUUUAAUGACAAAAAAAUUGUCGUUAAUUAAUGACCCAAAAAUUGUGUGAAAUAAAUUAAAUUGUGUCAAUAGAAUUGUUUUAAGAAAUAAUCCAUAUUUUUAUUUUCAACAACACAUGUACCUCAUCCACCUCUUUUUUCUUUUAUUUUCAACGACACAAUGUCUUGAUUAAAAUCCAUUUUUCUAGUGACAAAUGUAUCCAUACCAAAGUGGGAAGCAGCUAAGGGGACGAAGGUAUAUUCGGAGAGAGAUUGUUAAACAAUUGUAAAAAGUAAGCCCAAGAAGAGAGGUCCAAUAAAAUUCAGCCACCUCUCACAUAGUAAUUGAAAUAGUCUAGCAAUUUCAACCAUUUCCCUCACAGAGAAGAAGAAGACCAUAGCCACUCGAGGCUUUUGCACAUACAAACACCAAGAAGAUGGUGUCCGGUUCCGUACCUGUGCUAAGCGCGUCGUUGUUGACAUAAAGUUUCUAUAUACAAAGCUAUGUAUCUCUACCCUUGACUUCUCUUUCUCUCUUUCUACCUUUUUUAUCCUUUCUUUCUCCCAUUCACUCAAUACACUUGCAAGAACCUUCAUUUUUUUUGUAUUUAAAUUUUCUUGGCACCAUCCUUUUUUAAUUAUCAAGGCUUUGUUAUUGUGUACCUGUAUUGUGUCGUGCCUCCUUCACUUCUCAUCAUCAUUUUCAUGUCACAUCUCUACCUUGUCAAUUUUCGUUUUUCACUCAGCUUUCUUUCUUCAUUUGUCUUCACUACUCUCUUCGCUCCUUCUUCUCAAGCUCUAACUUUUGCUAUUAUUAACCAGUCUCAAAUGACCAUUGGAAAACCUAUAGCCCACUGAGAGGCAGCCAAUAUAGUAAUGCCUCUAAUGAUAAACUCCAAUGAAAUCAAAAGUUCUUCUUUGAGAUUUGGAAAAAUAUAUUAGAUAAAGCAUAAUUAGUUGAAAAAGAACCUUAAAAUUUUGUGUUAAACGACUACAAUUUCAUCGUAGAAUAUGCCAUAUUGACAGCAUAUUUUUCCUACAAAAACAUAUUAACUAAAAUAAGCUCAUAAACACGAAAAUGCACUAAGUGUUGGUUAACAUACACUACCUUGAAAUAUGAUGAAGACUUUAUUUCUCCCAACCAGACAGCAUAAUCAGGAGGUAGUUUGGGAGCAAACAGAAUUGACUUAAUUUCCACUAGCAAUAUCCUAUAAAAAUUUCAAAUUCUUGAAAUAUGGAAACCAAUGGAAGUUUUAGGGAAUGAAGUAUAACCUCUAAAUACAGAAGGACGACAUAAAGGGGAAUGAAGACUCGAAAGAAGGACGACGUUUUCGUAGAGAAGGACGACAAUUUUGAGGGACAACGGACACGAUUUCAGAGUAUUAGGGAUGGUAGAUGGCGAAAGUCUUAGGGAUCUCGUACUCAGUGGAUGGUGAACGACUGAAAGCGAAGGACCUAGUACGCAUUUUUGGAGAGGGCGUGUGAACGCGGAUGGACGGACGGUGAACACGGCAGAAGUGAGAGAUCCUCAUAGAGAACUUGGCAUUUUCGAAUGCGGUAGAGACAAGUCUAGGGCUUCGAAGGAUUCAACCCAAUAUUUUCUUUAUAUAUAUAUAUAUAUAUAUAAUAUAUAUUUAAUAACACUUGACGUUUUUAAAACGUAAAGAAAAACGAUUUUACUUGACGUCUAAAAAACAUCAAGAAAUUUAAAAAAUAACUCUUCUCCGGCUUUUUAUAAAAAUUCUUGACGUUUUAAAACAUAAAGAAUUUUUAAGAUAUUUCUUGACGUUUUUAAAAUGUCAAGUAAAAGUACAUAUUACUUGACGUUUGAAAAUUUUGAAGAAUGUUGAAUAUAUAAACAUUCUUGACGUUUUUAAAACGUCAAGAAAAAAUACAUAUUAGUUGAUGUUUAAUAAACGUCAAGAAAUCUGAAAAUUGACCUACCCUCGCCUUUUCUAAAAAUUCUUGACGUUUUAUCUUUGGAACUACCCCUUUCUUGACGUUUUUUGAAAAAAAAUGUCAAGAAAGAAAAACAACAAACGUCAAGAAAGGCCUUUUUUGUAGUAAUGACAUACAAUAUAUAUAUAUACAUAAAUAAAUAAAUAAAUAUAUAUAUAUAUAUAAUGAAUUAAAAUGGUUUUGUUGCUUUACUGUUUUACUCUAUAAAGGAAGAGCAUUAUAAAUAUAUUAUUGAGGAAACAUCUUUCGAAAUGACUGGUUUUGGAAGUGUCAUUAGAUUUUUAGUUAGUUAAGCACAUUUUCCUCCCAAAUAGUAGUCGAAAUACAACUGUUUUUUAAGAAGAAGAAACCGAAUCCUUCAAACUAGGAUAAAAGUCAUUAUCUAUUAACAUAGAGUUAAAGUUACAAGGUUGAAGGCUAGAGGGAAGCCUGAAACAACCUAAUCUAACAAAGCUUAAAGUUAAGAGUUGGUAGUAACAUCAUAUUAGUUACAAGAUGAAUGACGCCUAGACCAAACUUCGAUCAAGUUACAUGUGUCUUCCCACAAGUUAACAAUAAACCUUGAUUUAUCCUUAAAAAUUCUAUUGUUUCUUUCUAUCCAAACAAUCCAAAGUAAGCCAGUUAUGGAGGAGGAAUACACAUUAGAGAGCUCAAUUAUGGAUGGAGGAAUACACAACUUUUUCUCGUGGUCAUUUUCCUCGUGGGCAUUCUCUUCAUGUUUCUUCUUAUUCCGACUAAAAUACAAGCACAAAUUAUUCUUCGCCUUCGUAUAGGUUUGUUUGAAGAAGAUUAAAAAAGUCCUUAAUUUAUCUCGACACUUCCAAAACCAGAAUAUAAUACCCGUGCUACAUAAAUCCCUCUUUCCAAAUAGUCGAACAUGAACUAUCCAUGCAUAUCUUGGAAUAAACAAGAGAAACCCUAACUAAACGCAAAUAGAAAAUACGUUGCAAUCUAAAAUAUAGUUAAAGAAACAAAAAGAAGUUUUAAUGUUGUGGGUUUUUUACUGAUCUUCUUCAACAACAAAAUAACUCAACGCCACAGUUCAAUUUUUCCUUCCACGAAUUGGGUUUUUAAAGAGUUUUCACCGCGAAUAAAUUUUUUUUGGUUCGACAAGUAACAACAUGUGAAUCCCCAAAUGCAAGGUUUUAUUAAAAAUUAAAAAUAUAAUUUUUUAAAAAAAUUAUAAUACCUAAAAAUAUAUUUUUUUUAUAUUUAUAACCUAAUUUUCUGUCAUUGCAUACUUGAGAGAAAUAUAUUUUUCAAUUAGCAUAAUAACCUUUAUAUAGUAAAUUAAAUUUGUAGAAUGAGAAAAGACCUUAGAUCCAAAAAAGUUAUUUAUUUAUUAUUGGAGUGAAUUGUAUAAUUAAUGUAGUUAAUGGAUGGUUUUGUAACCAUAAAAAAAUAAUGAAAAUAAUUUUCUAAAAGAAUGAAUGAAAAUUUGGAAAGUUAAAAGGUUUUAGGAAUUAAAAAAAAGGGUGUAACAUUAUAAAAGACUACCAAAUAUACUGUAAGAGACAUGCAUUAAAGGAGCUGAGUGUCACGUGUGAAAUUUUGACCCCAAAAAUCACCCCCAAAAUUGCGCUAAUUCAUGCCACGACUCCUUCAGCAAGGCCCAGGAGCAGCCCAACGUGGUCCUAAGACAGCCUAAGGGCGACCACGACAUGUGCCUACGGCAUUGGCAUGCACCUCUCGAGGACAGCUCACAAGCCCCGCACGCGUGCCACGACGAGUGCCCAUGACAGCCGAGUGUCAGCCCACGACACAGCCCCAUAGCACGCCAGAUGCCCGUUGACACGGCCAUAGGCGCCCGGCACCAGCGCCCACCAUCGACCCAGCGCGCGCCGUGUCCGCCCAACGUCCAGACGGCCCCAGAACCUCCGAGAAGCUUCCAGAAGAAUCGGGAAGGCGCGCAACACUUCGCGUGGCGCGCACGGCGCGAACCCAACGCGCGCGCCGACGCCCCCAGAUGCUUCCAGAAGGCUCCACACAUGCCCAUGUGUGUGCUGCCCGCCCAUGCUCAGUCUAGACAACCCCAGAAGCCUCUAGAACGUUCGAGACAGUGCCAGAAUGUGCUGGAAUGCGCGGAGGCUCCCGAGAAGGCCCCGGAACGUGCUGGAUGAUGCUGGAACGUGCUGGAACACUCUAGAAGGCUAUAUGACGGUCAGCGAGUGUCAUGAAAGGUCUAGUCCUCUCUAGAAUGUUCUAGGCUUCCUUGUUAUGUACCAAAUGAACUUGUAAUCUCUAGAAUCUCCCUUGGCCGACCUUCUAAGGCCCAAGGUCGGUGGGGAUGGUCUAUAAAUACUUGGGAGGGCCUCAUUUGUAUCAAGCCUUGCAACCUUGCAUCUUGGCAUGUCUUAGCCAAGCAAGGUCACCUUGCCACCCAAAGUCUCCUUGCCCAUGGUAUCCCCAUGACAAGAAGACAGCAUAUUUGUACCCAAAUAUGUAUUCAUCUAUUGUUGGAAUGCAAUGUAUCAUUCCAAAGACGUAUCCAUCCAAACUCCCUCAUCCUUCCAACCUCUCUCAUGUCUUGCAACCAACCUUAGUACUUCCGCUGCAACCGUUGUCGUAGUGCUUGGCACACUACCCCUUCCGGGAAAGGCUUACUUGGCUACGUGGGCAUUGUAGUUAGCCAAGUGCCGCAUGUAUGGUUAGCUUCAAGAUCCUAACCACGUGACAUGAGGCAUGCAUACUACCAAAUAUACUAUAAAUAAACCAUAAUUCUUUUUUAAGAAAUUAAACAACUAAUUAAAUAUAAAGAAGAAAGAUUAGAAAAUGAAUGAUCAAACAAACUAUGACUCAUUUAUUUUUGACAGGUUCGGCCAGUAUCACCUGACAAUUCAUUUUCACCAAGAGAAUAAACAUGAGUAGCCUUGGAAUCAAGUUCCUCCGAUAAAAGCCACGGAGUUGAUGGGUUAGAGACAGAACCAGAAUUUGAGUUCAACGAUGUGGAUGGAAAAUUCUGAAACUAGGAGCAACAGGAAGUUAAGACAACGAAUUAUUUUCAAUAUAGAAAGGCUAAUUGUAAGAAGUUGUUAAUGAAGUGUCCAAAUGCAUUAUGGUAAUAUUGGGUGCAGAAUGUUUGGAAGUUUUAUCCGUGUGCUGUGAAGCACCACAGAGUUGAAGCAUAUGAAACCAGUGUUUAUCUGACAAAAAAUAGUGUCAUGAUCAUUGCCUUUCCAUUCCAUAAAUUUAUGGAUAGCAGAAGAAAGAGAACUCUCAACACUUGAAUCACCAUAUAGCACUCUACAUCCAGGUGGUGCCUUGAUUUUUGAAGAUUUAGUUAAAAGCAGUGAUAAAAUUGGUACAUAAAUUACAGUGCAUUUCUCGAUAUGCAACAACAUUAAGAGCAACUUAAAGACAACAUCAUCAAGAAAUCUAGUAUUUAAAAUGUACAAAGAGCAGUAGUAAACAUAUGUAUUUUAUGGCUGACUUUAUCCAUAAUAAAUGUUGGAUUAAAUCAUCAAAAUAAAACACAAACAGAUAAUUAUCGAGUUUUUCAAUGGAGGAUAGAGAGGAAGACAUGCAUGCACAACUACUAGAUCUAUAUGGUGCCAGACUGCCAGUAAAAAUUUAAAGACACACAUGACAACAUUAUUUUGGAUGAAGUUCUAAUAUUGCAACCAUGGAGGAAAAAUCAGCAAAUCUUAAAUAGAUGUAGUAGUCCAAAUGAUAAAAGUUUGUCUCAAGAUAAUAUUUCAGUAACUGCAGAUGCAUUGUGUUGAACCUAACCUCUUGUGUUUCACGGUAAUGAACAAGGACAAUGUGUUCAAAGGUCCUGAACAAAAAGCAGAAGCAAGUCAUAAAUUAUAUAAGUAGAACACGAUAUACUGCCACUUCUAAUUUCAUUUUUCUUUGCUUGUGGCAUGAUGGGGAUAGACCCCACUGAAACAACUGGUAGCAAGCAAUUUAACAAUUUUCUUUCAACCAUAACAUACUUAUCUAGGAGCCAAUAACACCGGCGAACAAAGGUUGGGCUAUCUAGUCCAUGGGCAUAGUAUACAUGUAUCCUUUCUACAUUACCAACCUGCCGAAGAGAAAGAAAAGAUUAUCAAAGCACACCUUUUCUUGGUUAUUAAGGCUGUAAAAGAAUGAAAAUUACCAUAAAUCUAAACACAGUUAAUAUUAGACCAUUGAACAACCUAUAGAUUCAAAAGGAAAGACUCAAACCACCAAUAGACUGGUUAAUCAUUUAAAAUGAUCUCCAACAACAUGAUACGCAGUAUAUCGUGCUAGAUCCAUAAUUACCACAUGUGGACUCCUAUGGUAAUUUCAUUGAUGAUACGCAGCUAGUAGGCAAGAUUAUGAAAUGAAGACGGUAUGUGAGAAGAUUGAAAAGAUCAACAUGAUAAAAUUAUAGGGAUUUGAAUUUAUAUCUUAAGAACACCAGAGUCAAAUGCUUAAGCUGAUUAACUGUGUUAAAUUUAACUCUAUAAUAUAUUUUAAAUCUGAACAGUCAUUAAACAACUACAUUUUGAAUAAGCUUUAGAGAAUAUUAGCAAAAACAGUAGAAAUUACUUCAAAUUUGUAGAGAGAACAUAUAAAUUAUAUUCUACAGAAACACGAGCCCAUAGCAUGUCUACUGAGUAGCAAUGACAGUGAAAAAGGGAAUAGUAAGUAACUAAUCUCAUAAACCCCUUUCUCACAUCUAACCAAGUUCUUUCAUGACAUGCAAAAGCAUCAAAAUAUUUAAGAAAACUUCCAAUAUUGCAUUUGGAACUCAUUGAUUGACUUCAACGUUUAAGAGUCAUAAAAGACACAACUUACUUUCUCACCUGUCACCACUAAGCCUACGGCAACAUCUUUUUAUAAGAUAUUCAGCUAAUCUUUAGAUUGUUUACCGAAUAAUCGUCUAUUGUUUUGUAAUUGAUCCCACCAAGCGCUUGCGCCACCUUGAAGUUUGAGAGCAACUAAUCGAACCUUCUUGUGUUCGUGGUGUAUUGGCAUAGUCGAAAAAAUUUCUACGUUCUUGAUCCAAUCAAGAAACUUCUCCACGUCCAUUCGACCAUUGAAGGUAGGGAGAUCCACUUUCAUACGUAUUUCUUGAUCUUCUUGAAAGUAUGGUCGAAGUCCAAGCCUUUGUUGAGGUUCUUGAUGAAUGUUCAGCAAGUUGUCUUCAUCGGAAGAGUCAGAAUCAUUUAAGAAAUUUCAGGUACGUUGUUUCCAUACAAUCGAUUAUUGUGGAUGUGAAUAGGUUGAUUUCUUAGUAGUUCUUAGUUUACAACAGGGUUUAUUGGUCUUUCUUGUCUUUCUUGGUUUGCUGCAAUUGGGUUUCUUGGGGCUGAAUUGCUUCUUCUAAAGGUUGGACAUGAAAUCGGGUAAAAAGGUUUGUUAAUUCUACUAACGAUUGCUGUAUAUCUGACUGCCCUUUUCGAAGUUCUUCAAUAGCUUGUUCUACCAACUGCAAGCGUUGGUUGAAGGAGGCUUCCGCGUCCAUGGAUAAGAGUGGUAGGAUCCAAGUUUUUUUAGGGAAGAGUGAGCUAGGAUCACGCUCUGAUACCAAUUGAUUCAGUAAUUGCAAAGCUAGAAAUCUUUAUGUAUAAUGCCUCUUUUUUUUUAUGUCUUAUUAAUGAAAAUGAGAAGCUUUUUUAUAGGCUGGAGAUUAUAAGAGUUGUUAAACUAACUUGGGGUUGAGUUAGUUAACUUGGAGUUGAGUUAGUUAUAACUAACUCAAGAUACAAAAUUGGUAAUUCAAAUAACUAAUCCUAAACUAUAAAAAUGGUAAUUCAAACCCCUCCUCUAGGAUAAAACUCAAGAAACAUCAAGAAGGGAGAUGUUCUACAUCAAAGUGUAGAGAACGAUUCAAAAUCCUUGGUGAAAGAAAUGAAUGUUAACUAAUGUGUGUUUAUGUGAAAUUGUUCAAUGAGUAUGUUAAGGAUAAAGAAAGGUUUAUGCGAGAUAAAAUUAUUUGAUGUUGUUUAUGCGAAAUGAUGUUUAUGAAAAGGUAUUGCGAAAAGGAUUUCAUAAAACCUUAGUCUUUUAGACAUUCUUUCAAAAAUUCAUCUUCCAAGAUGAGGUGUUUAGGCCAAGUAGAGAAGAAGGUUGAAGGAUUUGCAGCGAGAUGACCAGACGUUUUGAAAAUAGUUAAGCAUUGGUUGUUUGGUCAAAGUGUUGUAAUUAUGUAUCAAACACAUGUUAUUAAUAAACAUCUUGGUAGGUAUUUAUUAUACUUGCACGCCUACUCUCACAUUUAGCCAUAUGUUGUACUUUGUUUUCCACCUUGACUUUUAAUGACACACAAACCAACUUUCCAAGGAAUUCCCUUUCAUUUUCCUAUUAACUCAUAUUCUCUUUUUUUAUCAAGUCCUUGAUAGAGAAAGUGGACUUUGAGUUGUUGGACUUUAGUAUUGCAUGGACAUACAAUUUUGAAUGAAAAAUCCUUAUAAAUGGGGCCUUUUAACUCAUUUGAUGGGUUGGCUAUUGAAUUUGGGCUUUCAUACCAAAUGGAAUUUUUUUUCUUAUUUACUUAAAGAAAAAAAAAAAAAAUUUACCACGCCCAUUUUUUUUCAUCUAUUUCUUUCGUCCGGUUCUUUCAUCCAACGAGUCCCACAACUCGAUUAUGAGUCUAGAAGUACUAAGUCAAACUUAGUGGUUGUUCGAAUAAAACGCAACUUCAAAUGUAAGUAUUCUAAAAACCUUAUUUUUUGGUUUAGUCUCGUUAAUUAAGCCCAAUUAGGGUAGAAUUUCGAUUCUUUUUCUGUUGUGCAUGUCUUAGUUCUAUCAGUAACUCCCUUCAGGGUGAUAACUCUCAUCAGCAGACUUUCCAUUACUGGUUUCUUCCUUAGUCAUCAUUAUAUUGUUGUUUUCCACAAUAGAUAGGGUGAGUUGCAGUUUUACAUGAAAUGCUCUGCUCACCCACACUCUUUUCUCACUAGUUCCUUAUUCUCAAUCUUCAACGCAAAUUUCAUCAUCUGGGCCAACCCAAUCGGUUCCACAGUUUCCACUUCCAUUUUUAUUCAUGGGCUAAGCCCAAUCAUCAAAGUCUCCUCUAACACUACCGUUUGAAGAAAUGCUACUAGAGCUAAAUAUCGAUCAAAUCGGUUGCGGUAUUCUUCUAAUCAUUUUCUGUUUGAUUGAGAAAAAUCUUCCAACCAAAGUUCCUUCUCGAAUUGAUCGAAACUGUACAAGCAUUCGUUCUUUCAGGUCAGCCCAAUUCUUAAAAACUUCCAACUCUUCUUGUGCUUGGUACCAAUCCAAUGCCAGAUCAUCAAAACUAAUAACGCUGUGGUUAAUUUCUCUGAAUCAGUAAGAUCAUGUAUCUUAAAGAAGCGAUAGGCUCUAAAUUGAGACCCAUUUCUAAUUUGAGUAAUGAAGUAAAUUUGGCUAGGUAUUAAGAAUUUGGCGUUUGAAUAAAUCCACGAAAAGGAUUAAGCGAUAAAAAAAUUUAUGGUUAAGUAUACGUUAUUGCGAUUCAGUGGGUAGUUCGCGAAGGAAGUUGUGCGACCCAUUUCUAAUUCGAGUAAGGAAGUAAAAUUCGGCUAAGAAUUAAGAAGUUGGUGUUCAAAUAAAUCCAUGGAAAGAUUAAGUGAUAAGAUCUUUUACGGUUAAGUAUACUUUUUUGCGAUAAGUGGUAGUUCGCGAAAGAAGUUGUGCGAUAAGAAGCGAAAAAGUCUUUGCGUAAGUUAGAAAUGAAAGUUUUGAGUGUUAGACUAGGAGUUUUGGGUGGUCUUCGCGAGAAGAACCAAGUGUUUCGUGGAGAAGAAGUCUACGAGGAAGCCUUGGAGUUUAAGUUCGUGAUAAGAGUUUUAUGCGAGUAAAAGUUGGUUAGUUCAUGUGGAACGUUUCUUAUAAUAAAAAUAUAAUCAAGCGAUAAGGUUAUUCACGAGAAAUGUUAAGUGGUUGAAUUUAUUCACGGUUUGGGUUAGGCGGGAGCAAGGUUUGUAAAGAAAAUGUCAAAUCUGAUUUGACAUGGGUUAACAUGUAAGAUUAAGGAUUUGAGCAUGACUAGGUUAAAUAUUAAGGAUUUGCAUGACUAAGUUAGUAUAAGGGAUCUAUAAAAUAGGAGAAUUUAGGUAACUAAGGAGGGGAUGACGAGAGUUUUGUUGAAAUGCUAAAGUGUUGUUGGUUUAGCCACGAAAAGAUGGUUGUGAGAAGGACUUCUUUAGUAAAUUUUGGUGAGUGCUUUUCAGUCAAAAGAAUUUAUGUUAAGAAACUUUAUUACGAUUUCUCUUUACUGAUUGAAAGAAGAAUUCAGAUGAGAAUGUUUCAGAAAGAUUUCUAUGAAAAGUUAUGUUCAAGCAUUAUUAUAAUGUUAAAGCUUGAUUUGAUGACUAUGAUUUCAAUAUUAUGUUUCUUUGAGAUGAUGCUAACUUUUGUGUGCACAUAAAGAGUGAAGGCACUAUGGAGUGUACGAACUACAUGGUAAUAAGAAGCUGACUUAUGCAUUGAAAUGAGCGUAUAAAGCUUAGCGGAUGACAACAAAGACGAAUUUGUAUGUUCUCAGAUGUUGAUACAGUAGUCUAAACGCGAGGUAAUGACACCAGCGUAGAGAAUGAUUCGGGAUCCUUGACAAAUGAAAUGAUUUUUUAAGCAUAAAGAAAGGUUUAUUCGAAAUGAAAUAAUUUUUCGGUAUAUUUAAAUGAUUUGAUAUUAUUUUACAAAAUGAUUAUGAAAAGGUAUUGUGAAAGGUUUUCAUAAAACCUUAAAGGAUUUAAAAAAAAAGUGGACCAUUCAACUUAAUUCCCAUCCACUAUCCUCUUGUCCAACAUGAAACUUUAUCUUAGUAAAACUUCUUGAUCCACUAUUUUACAAAAAUAUUCAAAACAAUACCAUACUACACCAAAUGUGAUAUUUUGGUAACACUAUAAAAUGGUCAGAAAUACCAUUUUCCUGACUUUUUUUUCAUCGACCAUUAAAGAAAAAGUAUAGAUGAUGUUUCAAAAACUUCCAAACCAUUGUGUUAGUUAUCGUUUUAGAUGAGGGUUGGGGUAGAGCAUCAAUACUAAAGGUUGUUAAGGAUUAAGAACUAAGACUUGAAAACAAAACCGCCUGCCUGGUUGACAACAACACCAUCCCACUAGAGUGCACAAUGAUUAUUAUUGCAUUAAGAAGAAGAUGGCAGUUAACCUUAGCGCCAUAAUCAGAACCUCAAUCCUCCCUUUGAUGAAAGCACCUAAAGGUGUCAUGCCUUUCCCCUCUACCACAUUGAAGCUCUUUGUCUAACACUACAAGAAAUGAGGGCUCUCUCGAUGCAUAAAAUCAUUGGGAGAUAUAUAAAAAGCAUCAGAAAAGGCUUUUCUGACAUACUAAUAUACGUUGGAACACAAGUCAGGAAAAAAUGUAUCGGGAGAGGAACUCCCGAUGCACAAUGUUGUGCGUCGAGAGUUUCUAGACAUCUUCUGACGUUGUAUGAACGUCGAAGAUGUUGUCAAUAUAGCAUCGAGAGAUGUCUAGGAACCAUGCGUCGGGAGAUCCUCUAUUUUUUAUUAAAAAAAAUAACUUCAAUUAAUUCCUAAAUUCAAAUUGAAAACUCUAAAUUCAAACUCAACUUCAACACUUCAACCUCAACUUCAACACUUCAAAUUCAAAUUUCUAAAACCUACAACUAAUUCAAAAUUCUAACAACACUUGAAAUUAAAUUUCAACACUAAAACUUACAACUAAUUCAAAAUCUAAAUACUAAAACUAAUUUGAAAUCUAAAAUCUAACACCUAAAACAAAUUUGAAAUCUAAAUACUAAAACUAAUUAACUAAAACAAAACAAUAACUAACUAAACCACUUACCGAUGGCGGCGACGACAGGACGACAACAGGGACGACAAUGGAGAUGACAAUGCCCUCUUCUUCUUUAUCUUCCUCUCGGUCUCCCUCUCCCUCUCUCAUUUUUUUCUCUUUAUGUUUCAUUUAUAUAAAGAAUGGAGUUAAAAAAGGCAGAGAACUCCUGACGCACAACGAAAACGAAUUGGUUCCACAAACCAAUCUCAUCACAGAGGUACUCUUUGCAAUUUAAGCUCUAUUUGCAAUGGACAGUCUUCAAAGUUUUUUUUAACGAUGUUUCCAAUGCUUUCCUUUCUCUCUCAUGUUUAAUAAAACAAAUUUCUCUUAAAACCUGUAGGGAGGCUACAUCGUAUCGAAUUUCAUACAACUGACGUGUUCAUCGAGUUACAACAAGUGCCGCACAAUAGUCUGUUCCAUUUUGAAAAGUUGUGAGUGUGACACGCUCACAUGAGGUUAGAACGAGACAUGGCAAGGCAAGCCCUACGCGCGCCUGCAACUUCUGCCACAAUAUUUUGUAAGCAAGCUGAUGUCUUUAGGCUGUUUUUGUGGUUUUUGGAAAUUUUAAGCAAAGUUUUGAUAUUUUUAUGAUCAACGGGAAUUAAAUGGAAUUAUUUCCCAUUAUUUUUCAUUAUUUUAGAUUUGAAGGAGAUCGACCAAGUUUAUAAGCCAAGGGUCCAAGCUACUCUCUAUAAGUGACAAAAAUGAGUUUAAAGUUGAUUUCUAUACAUGAAUUUACUAUCAAAUGUUUCAAGCAUGCUUUGAUGUUUGAAUAUUUGAGGAUACUGACUAUAAAGUAUUUCCAAAGCAUGAAUUUAGAAACAUUUUGGUAAACAUGUUUUUAUUCAUGAAUUUACUAAUGAAAAUUAUAAGCAAUCAUGAUUGUGCUAAGUUUUCAGAAUGUUUAAGCUUGAAAAUAAUAUUAGCAUGUUUUAGUCUAUACCUAAAAUAUUCUAAGAUAUAUAGCAACCCUUCGCGGAGAGAUUUUCUUGUGCAUAGAGGUCAUUUGAUUUGGAUAUUCAGUAAAUACCUAGCUUUCCAUCAUUGGUAUUAGAUAAGAGAUGAAGACUUCUAAAGAUGCUUAGUUUCCCAUCUCAGGGACGAGAGCUUGUACGAAUGCCUAGUUUUCCAUCUCAUUGUAGUUAUAACGAGAUAGGGCACAAUUGAUGCCUAGAGUUUCAUCUCGUAAGUAUCGUAUCACGGGAUAGGGCUUCUAUGCCUAGUUUAUUGUUUUUCGUCUCGACGAUUAUAGGUAUAACAGAGAUUUGGUUUGAGGUGCUUCUUAAGUCUUUAAUAUUUAUGUUUGUUUUGAUCCUAGGAAUUGAGCAUGUAAUGUAAAAAGUCUAUGCACAAGGGGUCAUAUGGCCAUCUCCGUGUUUCUUUAAUUAUCAAAUUUGUUCAAGUUUUUAAUUGUCUCUAGAUCAAAAUCUGGAGUUAUUUUUUGUGAUUUGGUGUACAAAUACAUACAUCCAUGUUUCUAAUUAUGAUUAGAUUGUUUUCUGCUCGCAACAUUUUAUUGUUUAGCUUGUCUUUGAUCUUGAACUUACUAUUAUGUUGAUUUAAAUUCCAUUUUAGCCUUAGAACUUUCAAAACAUCCAUUUUAGUCAUCGAGCUUCCAAAACGUAGCCAACUAAGUUUUAGUAUUUUGUAAAUUAUUUUAUCAAUUAAUAUUCAUUUAUCCAAUACUCAUCGGUCAUUUCUGCUAUAUGUGAUUGGAAUAUAUCUCAUAGGAAGCAUUUUGAAAGUUGGGAAAAGAUGGAAAAUUUUAGGGACUAGAACAAGAAUUUGUUUAAUAUUUUUUGAUAGGGUGAAUUCUUGCAAUUUCCUUGUCGUAUAUACAUAAUUUUUUCUCUCAUUUGGCAAAUUCAUUAUGCUUGAAAAUUUAGGUGAUUCAUGAGCUAGAUAAAGUAAACAACGUAUGGAAGAUGAUCUUUGUGGCUUGUGAGGAAGACGUGGAGGAAGCCUUGGUGGCCGUAGAAAAAGGGAUAUGGACUUUCAACGUUGAAUGGUUAAUGGCAUGUAUAAUGAGACAAGAAGUAGACUUGGAGGCCCUUAAUUUGCUGAGUCCCUAUGAGAAACAAGGUCACCCUAACUUUCAGUUUUGAACAAGCAGCAGCCAGCCAUUUCGUCCUUGUGUAAAUCCACUCUUUUCUCAACUCACUCUAAUUUGGUACAUAAACAAACUCUGAUCGCUCCAUCUCUAUAUUCAUCAGUACAUAAAAGACGAUAAGUUUAUUCAUGGAGAAAGUUGGAUGUAAGUAUGUUUUAGGAAUGGUCCUUCAUUUAGUAACUUUGGGAAUUGUAAAAAUGAGGUAAUGAAGUUCUAUCAAGUUGAAUGUUCUUGUUUAUGUUAGAUGAGACUGAUUCUUGGAUACCAGAAUUAACUUGAAGUACGUGUUUGAGUUCCAUUGGAGUGAUUAGAGAAAAGAUGUUCCUUUAAAAACGGUAAUUUUUUUAUGUAGACUUUCUUUUUAUUAAAAUUGCUUAAAAUACAAUUUGAGAGUAUUUCAAUAGCUUUCAAAGAGUUGUCAAACACUUGUAGUUUUUCUAAAAUAACAUAUUUUCAAAAUUAAUUACUGUAAUAGUUAAACAAAAGAUUCUUUCCCUUCGAAAUUUUAAAGUUUGUCUAGUUACCUCUUAAACCUUUCAAUUGUUUAAUAGGUCUUUCAAUUUUAUGUUUUAAGUGUCAUAAAUUUUGAUUUUUUUUUAUUUGUUAGAUAUAAAUCUGAAGAAAUGAAUAAAGUAGAUUUGUAAGUUUAAAAUAGUUUAAAAGUUGAGAAAUUAAAUUUGUAGUUUAAAAGUUGGAGUAAAUAGUUUGUGUUAAGUCGGGUUGUGAUAUUUUAUUUAUUUAUUUUAAUAAUAGAAGAGAGGGAGACGAAAACUGCAGACUGAAGGGAGAAGAAGCGGUGGCUGACUUUGUAUAUUUCUCCUUUCUUUUCAAUUUGAGAAAAUUUCUUUGCAAUUCACUUUGAAAAGGAAAUGAAUAUUUCUCCCUCAGACUUAUCUCUCUCUUCUUUUCAAUUUAUUUUCAAUUUUUCUGUGUGCUUCUCACAGUGUAUGCAUAAUCUCUCUUUCAUUUUGAUAUUCAUCUCCAUUUCAAAUAUCUCCCACACAAAGAACAAAGAAAUGAGUAAAGUAACUGAGAGAGCAUUUUGUUUUUCCCUUCAUAUGGUUGGUUACUUUUUGUCAAUUAAAUGAAAAGUGAAGAAUAAGAUAAGAUUUUCUUUACCCAUUUGCCAUCAUCAUCAAAGCUAUUUACCUCAUUUUUGUUCACACACACACAACUUCAUUUUGUUGGAUUACACUCAUUUGAGAAAAUAGCAAAAUUUUAUUAGAAGAAUAGCAAACACGAGCAUUUCAUGUGUUUUGAAUUUUCAUUAACCCUAAAAUCUCCUCGCCUGCUUUUUAGUUAAACUGUAACUAAUUUUGAAAUAUGCAAAAUUUUAGCAUAAAUAUUGAUUUUCUCCUACAUUAUCUUAACACACUUUUUUUCCUCCAAAUAUUGGAUUUAUAUCAAAUCUUUAUUUUCAAAUUUUACUUUAUCCAAAUUUUCAUUUUUCAAAAUUUCAUCGUUAUUCUACUUUUAUUUUUGUAUUUCAUAUAUAUAUAUAUAUUUAUAAUAUUUAAUCUUAUUUUUUCUCUUUUCCUAUUCAUCUUCUUCCUUUCUCUUCCUCUUCAACCUACGGCCACACCACCGUCUCUUUUCUUCCUUCUCUUUUCAUUCUCCAAUCAACUUCACCACCGUCUUCCACCUACAUCGAACGUCAAGCAAAUUUUGUCGUAUCGUCGCAUCACCGUUAGCCCGAGUCACUCCGGUUCCGUCACGCCAUGUAUGUUUAGAUUUGAAUUGUUUGGUUAUUUGUUGCACCGAUCCGUCUCCGUUAGAAUUUGAUUCUCCACAAUUUGGGUAAGUUAUGGAAUUUACAUAUAGAGUGAAUUGAAUGGAUUAAAUUGUUUGUGGAAGUGAUUGAUUUCUCUUCAAUUAUGUUUAGGUCGGUUCGUUGCACUUUAGUUUGAAAAAGAAGCUUAAGUAAGGUUAUAAGCUAAGGGAUUCUCUACUACUGGACUCACCUAUAGUUUUGAAUUGUGCUGUCUGUAUAGUUACCUCGAUUGAGUAAAGAUGUCGAAACGAUAUAUAUACGUAUGAAUGUAGACUUGAUGUUGAAUGCAUAUUGUGAUUGUCUGGGAAUAUAUAUAUAUAUAAAUAUGUAUGGAUGUAGACAGGACGACAAUUGUAGAUUGUGUUUGUAUGGAAUGUGGAUGUGUGAACUUGUGAUUGUCGUUUAGAUUGGGUGUAUGUUAUACUAAAGUAUGGUUGUGUACUGGUGAAUUGAGGGGUGUUAUGACUAUAUAGUUUGAUUGACUGAUGUAUUGAUAUGUUACUGGCGGACAUUGGGCUAAAGUGAGAUAAGUUGACUAUUAGGGUGUUCAGUGAAAGGAUUAUAUGUUGAAGUAGUUGGUUACUAUGAAUGAGUUUUAAGAUGUUUAGAAUGGAUUGAGGGGAAAAUUGUUAGAUUUCUAUUGGGUAGUUACCUUGCAGGUGUCCUACAGGAUCACCACCUGAUAUGUGCAUCCUUCGAUAGCACUAGACUGAUAUGUGCAUCCUUCGGGAGCAUUAGACUGAUAUGUGUUUCUGCGGAACACUAGACUGAUUUAUGCGUCCUUUGAGGCGUUAGACUGAUUAUGUGUAUCCUACGGAUCACAAGACUGUGACUGUGCAGGGUACCCCAAUAGGAAGUUAACAGUUUCUUUUUCCCCUAACGGGACGAAUAACGGGUCUCUUAUUGGGUAUGUUUAUACUCAUCCUUUCAUGUUUAACUAUUUUAGGCAAAGGUAACAAAUGAGGUAGACUGACGAGGGACAAGAAGGAGACGUGAUUGCCAUAAGGGAAUGUCCUUCAAAUGCUUCUGCUUUAUGUUUCUUGUUUUCCUUUGUACAUGAGGUUGUUUAAAAAUUUUGUGAUGGAACUGAGUUUACGAACUGUUGUUUUGUGAAUAGUACUUUAAAGUUUGGAUAUUUGAAAUAGGGCCCGAACUUAAGUUUGUUUUCUUUGAUCGUAUGAUUUCAAGUGAAUUUUACUAUAUUUUGUGUCAAUCAAGGUCUCUUUGUCAAAAUUAAUGACUUCAACUUAGUUAGAAAAGUUGGGUCGUUACAACAAAUUUUAAGUAUUGAUGUAAGAAUUAUGUACUUCAUUAUAAAGGUCGAUAGCUUACAAAUAUUAACACGAUCGUGUACCGAUAACAAGACGAUUGUUUACACUAUUCAAUACGAUCACCAAUAUCAUAUGAUCGUGUACCCAUGUCAACACGAUAAUUUAUUUUAAUCAAUAUUAUCAUUUACCGUUCUUAAAUGUUCGUUUAUCACGGUUAAUAGGAUCGUUUAAUGUAUAUUAUUUCAUUGCACGAUCGUUUACUUAUUCUUGCAUUGUGUUUAGUAUUAUCAUUUUGUACAUUUUAUUCUUUUAUUCAGUAAUAAAUGUAUAUCUAUGUCUAUCUAUUUCUUUCUAUCACAAUUAAAUACUUAAUUUUAUUUUAUUUAUUUUUUUUACAGAUUAUAAUGUCUUUUCCUAUUGUUGUUUUUUACGGAGGUCAAUGGAAUGGAUGUAAUAUUUAUGAGAAUUACUUAGUUGCUGAAAUUUUGGUAGGUGUCCGAGUCAGCUUUAAUUCUCUAGUUGAUUUAAUAUGUGAACAGAUUCAAUUGGAUGGAUAAGUAGAAUUAUCUGUUUUACUUGAUUUUGGUAAAAGCAAGGUCCAACUGUGGUGCCAGUAAAGAAAGACAAUGAUGUGGCUUGGUAUUUAUCUUUUGCUAAAGAUGCAACUAAUAUACAUCCAUUAGUUGCUCAUGUAACUGUUGAUUUUUUUUAGAAGGUCUUCUUCUUCUUAGAGAACUACCUGUAGCUACCAUGCUUAGUUCAAUUAGAGAUGUAUUGCAAAAGUGGUUUGAUGAAAGAAGUAAAGCUACUUUUACAAUGAAGAGUUGUUUGACUUCUUGGGCUGAGAACGUGUUGCAUUUAGAAUAACAUGAAAAGUCAAGAAUUUUAUUGGUAAUUUUUUUUUUUUUUUUAAUGUUUGUAUCUCAGGUAGAUAUAAAUAGAUUGCUAUUUUUGUCCAUUCGAUAGAGAAAUAUAACAAUUUAUGUGUGCUUGUUUCAGAUAUAUAGAGAUAGAUAGCUAUCAAUGUCUAUUUGUCUCUAUUUGUGCAUGCUUUUUUUUUUAAUUUUUCUAUAUUUGUUUUAUGUAUUAGGUUGAUCCAAUUAGUAUGACUGAAUAGAAAGUAAUGGAUGAUACAAAAUGAUAAUGUGAUUUAUUUAUAUUGGUUCUAAUUUGAAAUAUUCAAAUUUACUUUGGAAAUUAGUAUAAUUAGUAUAAUAUAUAAUGAUACAUUAUAAUAUAAAGUUUAUAUUUAAUGAAACUUUAUUAUAUAAAUUUAAUUUUAGAUAAAGUUCAAAAUUAAUUUAUGAGAAAAUAUUUGAAUGAGUUCAAAUAUUAAUUUAAUGUGGAUUUGUUUCAUAUUAAAACUAUUAAUUAUGAGAUAAAGUUAUAUUUGAAUAUGAUUCAAAUUUAACUUAAGUUAAAUAUAAAAUAUUUAAUUUAGUUAUUAAUUAAUUGAAGAAUUAAUUAAUAGUUUAGUUUAAUAUUAUUUAAUUAAAUUUGAUUUAAUUAAAUUAAUAUAAAACUAUGGGUAUUGGAGAGAUAUUCAUUCAAUAAGAUUUAAAUGAAAUAUUAAUUAAAUAUGAUUUAAUUAAUUAUUAACUAAUUGAUUAAUGGUUAAUUAGUUAGUUGAUUUGAAACUUCUAUUAAUUUAAUAUUUUUUAAGUUAAUAGAAUCCUAUGAUUUUCUCCUACCCCGUCUCCUACUCAAUGAAAGAAAGAGAGUUAUAAAUAUGUAGAAGAAAAACAUCUUUUCUUAACCAAAAUAAAAUCGAUGAUUUUCUUUUCUGCAAAAUAGAUUGUAACGACCUAAUUUUUCGAAUUAAGCUGAAGUUAUUACUUUAAGACUAGAUUCGUCUUUAACCAUAAGACUUUAUAAUUUAAAAAAUAUAUUUUUUAACAACAUUAAAGAGUUUUUAUUCGGCUCUAUUUCAAAUAAAAUUUUGAAAGUGUAAAAGUAUCGAUAAUAAAGAAAGUUCAAGAACAUAAAAGUCGUUCAAUCAUGAAACCCAAAACAGUCUCAAUUACUAAAGAAAACCAAAAAAAAAAAAAAUAUAAAGUAAAAGCAAUUUGAAGGACAUUUCCCUAUGGCAGUUUCGCGGAAAAAGAUUAAACAUAAAAGGGUGAGUAUAAACAUACCCAGUAAGGGACCCACUACUGAUCCUGUUUAGAAGAAAAAUAAAAUUGUUAACUUCCUAUUGGAGGUGCCCUGCACUUUAAAAGUCUUGUGAUCAUGUAGGAAUACACAUAAGCAGUCCAAUGCCCUAAAGGACACAAAUACUAGUCUAGUGCUCUGCAGAAAGCACAUGUCAGUCUAGUGCUCUCGAAGAAUGCACAUGUCAGUCUAUUGCUCUCGAAGAAUGCACAUGUCAUUCUAGUGCUCUCGAAGAAUGCACAACAGGUGGUGAUCCUGUAGGACACCUGCAAGGCACACUACCCAAUCGACAAAGCUAACAAUUUUCCCUUAGUCCAUUAUAAACAUUUAAUCAAUCCAUUCCUAGUAUAGUCAAACUACUCCAUCAUAUCAUCAAUCCAACUUAACACACUUACGUUCAAUCUAUUCAAUCUAUCACAAAAUCAGUUGAUACUAUAACAACACACCAGACAGUCAAGAUAUAUAUAUAUAUACAUAACACCUUUCUCAGUUUACAAAUACAUUAUCCAUCGUAUCUACUUCUAUACCAGUAAGUUUACAAACACUAACUGUUGAGUUUCUACAGUAGAUUCUUGAAGAUGUGACUCUUGAACAGAUGGAUUCUCAUGGAUGAUCACAUGUUUGUUAUUUUGAUGGUCAUCAUUCUUGUCUAGAUUGUGAUGACUAGAAUCAUCACGAAGAUCAUCAUACAUGUUGUUAAUAUCAUCAAACAAUUGAUUCUGAUUCUAGUAUAGAAAGAAAAAAGGAUAAUAAAAAAAUAGUUACAAAAUGAUCGUGUAUCCUUAAGCAAACAAUCGUGUAGAAUAUCUAAACGGUUGUUUUACCAAGGGUGAUCGAUAUUUUAGAUGGGAUAUGCGAUCGUUCAUAUGUGAUAUGUGAUCGUGUAAAGAUAUAUCAAACCUUUGUUCUGUCAGAAGUCGUGCUAAGAAGAGUUGAAAGCUUGUAAUAAGAUCCAUCAAAACUGAAAGAUUUUACAUCAACACGUUCCUGACACAGUAAUGCAGUAUCAAUGAGCAUCAAAUUACGUGAGAUACGUAUUAGAAAAUAUCUAACUGCUCAGUUAAUUUUUUAUGGACAUCAAAUCACCUUUUUUCAAGCUUAAGGAAGGAAAUGUCGACACUAUAUAUGUCAGAGUUGUGCAUUGCAAUGGAAGUGCCAACACGAGGUGAUACAUGUGUGUCUGGGAUGUAAAUGCCACUCCCCGACUAGGACCAACAUAGACUUAGGGAGAAAGCAUGCUAGGAAUUGGAGUUGUGUCCUCAAUUUCUUCAAGGGACUUGAGCAUUUCUUCUUACACUAGAAUGUCUCCUGUUCAGAGAGUUUAUAGGAUUUCUCAAGGCCAUUUUUGCAUACUUAACAGCUCUUGACAACGGUAGAGAGUCUAACUCUACACUUUCAAGGGGUUCCAACUCCACCACUCGCUGAGCCAAAGAUAGAGACGAAUCAUUAAUGAUCCAGUAAGCAACAUGAAACCUUGUAAUUUUGGGGUUAACGGUAGUCCCUCCCAUUACUAGCUCAACACUUAAACGGAGUCUCCUCUAUAAAAUAUAAAAUAAUACAGACACAAAUAGUGAAUGAAAUCUUGUGACGUAACAAACACAAAUUUUAGGUAUACUGCAAUUUGACUAAAUAUUGAACAAGAAAACCCAAGGGAAUACACAAAAAUCCAACGUUUUUAGGGGUCAAUUUGGAAAAUGGCAAAACUACUUUUUCUUUUCAAUUUUAGCAAACAACAUUUUUUGCGCGUGCAUGGUAUUUUAUAAAAUACCAAAAUAUUCAACUUCUCCAACUAUAAUUAUUUUGUUUUUACGUUAUAAUUAAUUUAUGUUAUGUAUUUAUCAACUUUUAAUUAAUUUUUACUUGAAAUAGAUACAUUAACUCAUAUCAUAACUUUUCUCUUAAAAUCUCAGGACUCAAUUAAUUAAUUCAAUAUUUUAAUAACAUUAUUCAAUCUUAUUAAUUUCAAAAUAAUCUAAUUGAAUUUGAAUUUCAAAAUAACCAAAUUGAAUUUCAAAAUUACAAAAUUAUUAUUUUCUAGAAUUUGAGAAUCUCAACGAUAGAUUUUAUAUUAAAAUAAACUUAUCUCAAAAUAAUUUUAAUGACUUGAAUAUCAAGAUAAUUAAAUUAUUAUUUUAAAAAUUGGAAGAAAAGCACAAAAAGCGCACACGCCCACUCACGUACACACGCACGCGCGCGUAUACGCACACACACGCACACGCACACGCACAAAAGCGCACACGUGGACACUCACACCCACGCACACGUAGACAUACACACCCACGCACACGUGGACACGCGCAUACGCACACACGUACGCACUCACGCACACGCACGCACACACGCACAUAUGCACAAAGAUGUAUAAAUGAAUUAAAAUUAAAAAAUAACUACAAUAAUUUGACUUACUAACGUUAAUUAAAUUAUAAUUUCUAUCAAUAUUGGUUUAAAAGUGUCAUUAAUGUAAUUAUUUCAAUAUAAUGCACUCUUAUCCAAUUUUACGAACAAAAAACAAGUCGAAUAUGUACCAUUAGAUGACACUCUUUGUCAUAAGAGAUAUAGCAACGUUUUUAUGGGUCAUUUUGAAAAAUGGCAAAACUACUUUUUCUUUUAAAUUUUAGCAAAUAGAAUUUUUUACACGUGUCCAUGAUAUUUUAUAAAAUACCAAAAUAUUCACCUUCUCAAACAGUAAUUAUUUCGUUUCUACGUUGUAAUUAAUUUAUGUUAUGCAUUUAUUAGCUUUUAAUUAUUUUUUACCUGAAAAAGAUACAUCCUUUUUCUUAAUAUCUCGGGACUCAACUAAUUGAUUCAAGAUUUUAAUUUUAUUCAAUCUUACUAAUUUCAAAAUAACCUAAUUAAAUUUCAAUUUCAAAAUAACAAAAUUAUUAUUUUUCGAAAUUUGAGAAUCUCAACGAUAGAUUUUGUAUCAAAAAUAACUUUAAUUGAAUUUCAAAAUUAAAAAAUAUUAACUUGUUCGCACACAAGCACACGCGCACACGUGCACAACGCACGCACACACACGCACACACACCCAUCCACACACGCACACGCACACGCACAUAUGCACACACGCACAAAGAUGUGUAAAUUAAUUAAAGUUAAAAACAAAUACAUUCAUUAUGUUCAGAAAGAGUUUUAAACCAUGUUCAUUUGACUUAAUAACAUUGAUUAAAUUAUAAUUUCUAUCAAUAUUGGCUUAAAAGUGUCAUUCGUGUAAUUAUUUCAAUAUAAUGCAGUCUUAUCCAAUUUUACGAACAAAAAACAAGUCAAAUAUGUACCAGUAGAUGACACUCUUUGUCAUAAGAGAUAUAGCAACGUUUUUAUGGGUCAUUUUGAAAAAUGGCAAAACUACUUUUUCUUUUAAAUUUUAGCAAAUAGAAUUUUUUACACGUGUCCAUGAUAUUUUAUAAAAUACCAAAAUAUAAACCUUCUCAAACAGUAAUUAUUUCGUUUCUACGUUGUAAUUAAUUUAUGUUAUGCAUUUAUUAGCUUUUAAUUAUUUUUUACCUGAAAAAGAUACAUCAACCCAUAUCAUAACUUUUUUCUUAAUAUCUCGGGACUCAACUAAUUGAUUCAAGAUUUUAAUUUUAUUCAAUCUUACUAAUUUCAAAAUAACCUAAUUAAAUUUCAAUUUCAAAAUAACAAAAUUGUUAUUUUUCAAAAUUUGAGAAUCUCAACGAUAGAUUUUGUAUCAAAAACAAUUUUAAUUGAAUUUCAAAAUUAAAAAAUAUUAACUUGUUCGCACACAAGCACACGCGCACACGUGCACAACGCACGCACACGCACGCACACACACUCAUCCACACACGCACACGCACACGCACAUAUGCACACACGCACAAAGAUGUGUAAAUUAAUUAAAGUUAAAAAAACAAAUACAUUAAUUAUGUUCAGAAAGAGUUUUAAACCAUGUUCAUUUGACUUAAUAACAUUGAUUAAAUUAUAAUUUCUAUCAAUAUUGGCUUAAAAGUGUCAUUCGUGUAAUUAUUUCAAUAUAAUGCGGUCUUAUCCAAUUUUACCAACAAAAAACAAAUCGAAUAUGGAUCAGUAGAUCUACACUCUUUGUCAUAAGAGACAUAACAACGUUUUUAGGGUCAUUUUGAAAAAUGACAAAACUACUUUUUCCUUUGAAUUUUAGCAACUAGCAUUUUUUGCACGUGCAUGGUAUUUUAUAAAAUACCAAAAUAUCAACAUUCUUCAACUGUAAUUAUUUCGUCUCUACAUUGUAAUUAAUUUAUGUUAUGCAUUUCUCAGCUUUUAAUUAUCUUUUACUUGAAAUAGAUACAUCAACUCAUAUCAUAAUAUUUUUCUUAAUAUCUCGAGACUCAACUAAUUAAUUCAACAUAUUAAUAAUUUUAUUCAAUCAUACUAAUUUCAAAAUAACCUAAUUGAAUUUGAAUUUCAAAAUAACAAAAUUGAAUUUCAAAAUAACAAAAUUGAAUUUCAAAAUAACAAAAUUGAAUUUCAAAAUAACAAAAUUAUUAUUUUUCGGAAUUUGAGAGUCUCAACGAUAGAUUUUGUAUUAAAAUAACCUUAAUUGAAUUUCAAAAUUAAAAAAUAUCAACCUGUUCACUAUCUUUAUCUCAAAAUAACAUUAAUGCCUUAAAUAUCAAGAUAAUUAAAUUAUUAUUUUAAAAUUGGAAGAAACUCAACAUUAAAAAUAUUAACUUGUCGGACACAAGCAUAGAAGCACUGCGCACACACGUACACAUGCACACUUACACACACGCGCGCACACGCACACCUACACACAGACACCCACAGACGCACGAACCCACGCACACACACAUGCACACGCGCACGCAUGCACACACACACCUAUCCACACGCACACAAGCACACACACAUGCACAAACGCACACACGUGUACGCACAAACCUUAUCUCAAAAUAGUUCCUAUUUUUGCUGACAGUUUAUUUUUUGCCAUCGAUAGAGGAUCUUCCAAUAGACCUACGUGACGGUGUGUGUUGACAGCUUAAUUUUGUUGGCAAAAGAAAAGUUGAUUAGUUUUUGAAGAUUUACUGACGAUAUUUGUCAUCGACAAAGGGUAAAUUUCUUGUAGUGCAUGUACAUCAAACAUAUCAAAUUUGUUAAGUGUACCAAUGAAGUAUAACAAGUUUAUUAGUGGUGUAUCACGUGUAUCAAACUUAUUAGUGAAGUCUUUAAGUGUAUCAAACUAAUCAAGUGUAUCAAGGCCUCAGGGGUAUCAAGUGUAUCAAGAAGAAUCAAGUGUAACGAGAAGUAUUAUGUGGAACGAGAAGUAUUAUAUGUAUGAAGAUGUUUCAAGUGUGUAUCAAAAAGUAUCGAGUGUAUCAAUGAGUACCGAGUGCAUGAAUUGUAUCUAUCAAAUGUAUCAAGUGUAUCAGUAAGAAGUAUCAAGUGUAUCAAGGGUAUUAGGUGUAUCAGACGUGUAUAAGGUGUAUCAAAUAUACAUCAAUAACGAGGGCAUUUGUGACAUUUUACCUCUUGAUGUGUGAGUUGGUCUUUGUUUUUGUCAUUUUCUCAAAUAAUAAAGUAUGUGUUCUAUGGACUUAAUUAUUAUAACUUAUUUUGCCAUUUUCGCAAGUGUCCCUUAAUUGUAAUACAUGUAUAUGUGACAUAAUCUAAUCAAACUAACUCAUAAAUGGACUUAAUGUAUCAAGAGGUAUUAGGUGUAUCAGACGUGUAUAAGGUGUAUCAAAUGUACAUCAAUAACGAGGGCAUUUGUGACAUUUUACCUCUUGAUGUGUGAGUUGGUCUUUGUUUUUGUCACUUUCUCAAAUAAUAAGGUAUGUGUUCUAUGGACUUAAAUAUUAUAACUUAUUUUGCCAUUUUUGCAAGUGUCCCUUAAUUGUAAUACAUGUAUAUGUGACAUAAUAUAAUCAAACUAACUCAUAAAUGGACUUAAUCUAUCUCAUGGACCACGAAUUCUUCAAUUACUUGCAAAUUUGGUGAGUUCCUUCAAAUGGUGGGCGGAGAGCUUAAUUUUGAGAGAGAGGAAAAGUCGUGAAGAGUAUUUGCGAGAGAGGGGGGAACGUCGCCAGAGAGCAUUUGCGAGAGAGCUAAAGACAGCGACGAUGUGGGAUGAAGUAAGGUUUUUUUCGGUCAUUGUUCACAAGUGGGAUGAAAGCUUCGAAUUAUUUGUUUUAAAUCAAAAAACGUAUGAUUGAAGGAAAACAUUGAUUUUUAUUAGGGUAAUUUUUUAAUGACACAUAAUUUAUGCCAUUAUUUACAAUGCCAAAAUUUUGUCAAGAAAACUCAAUUUGUGUCACAAAAAAAUUUGUAUUUUUAUUUUUUUAACGACACAUUUUAUUCCCUCAUAUCCCUUUUUCUUGAUUUCAAGUGUCAUUAAAACUUAUAUUUCUAAAUAAAUUUAUUCGACGAAAGUGGCUAGAUUGGUGGGUUUGACGGCGAAGGCUUGUUGUGGGAGCAACGACAACAGUGGUUGGAGUGUGGAAUCGACGACGGCAAGUGGCAAAAAAUUGGGGGCAAGGGUUCUUCAUAACGACUCGAUAGCCCACUUCGAAUUUUUUUGAAAUUUGAGGUUUUUUCAUUUGAAAAUUUUUUUAAUGACAAAAAAAUUGACGUUAAUUAAUGACGCAAAAUUUGUGUUGAAAUAAAUUAAAUUGUGUCAAUAUGAUUGUUUUAAGAAAUAAUCCAUAUUUAUAUUUUCAACAACACAAUGUACCUCAUCCCACCUCUUUUUUCUUUUAUUUUCAACGACACAAUGUCUUGAUUAAAAUCCAUUUUUCUAGUAGUGACUGAAAAAAAAACUGGACAGAAUCAUAAUAUCUUUGAUAAUUAAAUCACCAGUUGGUUUGAACAUAUAUAAUCUUGGAUCUAUUCUAUUAUGAUAUGACCAUGGUACAUCAUGAACAUACAUUGACUAAAAAACUUAAAUUGAUGAGUGAAUGUAAUAAAUUUAAUAUUAAUUAUAUGAUCAAUACUUUACACAUGUAUAUUGGUAUAUCAGUCAAUAACAGUAGUAAGACAAAUUAUAAAAUAUAAGGGAUAAAAGUCCUACACAUGCAUGUAUGGUAUACUCUCUUGAUAGCAAAAUGCAUUUAUGUCAACUCAUGUUUGAAUGCAUUUAUGUAGGAAAUUCAAUAAAAUAAUUAAGAAACCUUGCAAUAUGUGAGAGAUAUACGAACUUCAAACAAAUUUUACAAGUUUCAGCAAAAAUUUUCAAACAACUUUUAAAGUUUAAGCAAAAAGUAACCGUAGGUAGGAAGGGGAGCAAAAGUGGGGUCUCGAAUUAAUUCUGAAAAAUUAGUAGGCUUUCAAAAUUUAGGUUCUAGAAGUAGAAUUAUUGCAGAAAAAUAAAUAAUUGCAUCAUUCAAAUUGAAUCAGACAUAUCAGGAUGUAUAUAUUCUCCACAACGUAUAAUGGAGUAUAAACAUAAAGUUUCUAUAUACAAAGCUAUGUAUCUCUACCCUUGACUUCUCUUUCUCUCUUUCUACCUUUUUUAUCCUUUCUUUCUUCCAUUCACUCAAUACACUUGCAAGAACCUUCAUUUUUUUGUAUUUAAAUUUUCUUGGCACCAUCCUUUUUUUUAAUUAUCAAGGCUUUGUUAUUGUGUACCAGUAUUGUGUCGUGCCUCCUUCACUUCUCAUCAUCAUUUUCAUGUCACAUCUCUACCUUGUCAAUUUUCGUUUUUCACUCAGCUUUCUUUCUUCUUUUGUCUUCACUACUUUCUUCGCUCCUUCUUCUCAAGCUCUAACUUUUGCUAUUAUCAACCAGUCUCAAAUGACCAUUGGAAAACCUAUAGCCCACUGAGAGGCAGCCAAUAUAGUAAUGUCUCUAAUGAUAAACUCCAAUGAAAUCAAAAGUUCUUCUUUAAGAUUUGGAAAAAUAUAUUAGAUAAACCCGGACGUGGUGAACGCGGUGAACGCAGACGCACGGACGGUGAACACGGCAGAAGUUAGAGAUCCUCAGAGAGAACUUGGCAUUUUCGAAUGCGGUAGAGACAAGUCUAGGGCUUCAAAGGAUUCAACCCAAUAUUUUCUUUAUAUAUAUAUAUAUAUAAUAUAUAUUAUAUAUAUAUAAAUAUAUUUAAUAACACUUGACGUUUUCAAAAACGUCAAGAAAAACGAUCUUACUUAACGUCUAAAAAAACAUCAAGAAAUUUAAAAAAUAACUCUCUCUGGCUUUUUAUAAAAAUUCUUGACGUUUUAAAACAUAAAGAAUUUUUAAGAUAUUUCUUGACGUUUUUAAAAUGUCAAGUAAAAGUACAUAUUACUUGACGUUUGAAAAUUUUGAAGAAUAUUGAAUAUAUAAACAUUCUUGACGUUUAAAAAUGUCAAAAUUUUUAUAGAUAUUUCUUGACGUUUUUAAAACGCCAAGAAAAAAUACAUAUUAGUUGAUGUUUAAUAAACGUCAAGAAAUCUGAAAAUUGACCUACCCGCCUUUUCGUAAAAAUUCUUGACGUUUUAUCUUUGGAACUACUCCUUUCUUGACGUUUUUUUUGAAAAAAAUGUCAAGAAAGAAAAACAACAAACGUCAAGAAAGGCCUUUUUUGUAGUAAUGACAUACAUAAAUAUAUAUAUAUACAUAUAUAUAUAUAUAUAAUGAAUUAAAAUGGUUUUGUUGCUUUACUGUUUUACUCUAUAAAGGAAGAGCAUUAUAAAUAUAUUAUUGAGGAAACAUUUUUUGAAAUGACUGGUUUUGGAAGUGUCAUUAGAUUUUUAGUUAGUUAAGCACAUUUUCCUCCCAAAUAGUAGUCGAAAUACAACUUUUUUUAAGAAGAAGAAACCGAAUCAUUCAAACUAAGAUAAUCCUAGGAUAAGAGUCAUUAUCUAUUAACAUAGAGCUAAAGUUACAAGGUUGAAGGCUAGAGGGAAGCCCGAAACAACCUAAUCUAACAAAGCUUAAAGUUAAGAGUUGGUAGUAACAUCAUAUUGGUUACAAGAUGAAUGACGCCUAGACCAAACUCCGAUCAAGUUACAUAUGUCUUCCCACAAGUAAACAAUAAACCUUGAUUUAUCCUUAAAAAUUCUAUUGUUUCUUUCUAUCCAAACAGUCCAAAGUAAGCCAGUUAUGGAGGGAGGAAUACACAUUAGAAAGCUCAGUUAUGGAUGGAGGAAUACACAACUUUUUCUCAUGGUCAUUUUCCUCGUGGGCAUUAUCUUCAUGUUUCUUCUUAUUCCGACUAAAAUACAAGCACAAAUUAUUCUUCGCCUUCGUAUAGGUUUGUUUGAAGAAGAUUAAAAAAGUCCUUAAUUUAUCUCGACACUUCCAAAACCAGAAUAUAAUACCCGUGCUACAUAAAUCCCUCUUUCCAAAUAGUCAAACAUGAACUAUCCAUGAAUAUCUUGAAUAAACAAGAGAAACCCUAACUAAACCCAAAUAGAAAAUACGCUGCAAUCUAAAAUAUACUUAAAGAAACAAAAAGAAGUUUUAAUGAUGUGGGUUUUUUACUGAUCUUCUUCAACAACAAAAUAACUCAACGCCACAGUUCAAUUUUUCCUUCCACGAAUUGGUUUUUAAAGAGUUUUCACCGCGAAUUUAUCUUUUUGGUUCAACAAGUAAACAACAUGUGAAUCCCCAAAUGCAAGGUUUUAUUAAAAAAUUAAAAUAUAAUUUUUUUAAAAAAAUUAUAAUACCUAAUUUUUUUUUAUAUAUUUAUAACCUAAUUUUCUGUCAUUGCAUACUUGAGAGAAAUAUAUUUUCAAUUAGCAUAAUAACCUUUAUAUAGUAAAUUAAAUUUGUAGAAUGAGAAAAGACCUUAGAUCCAAAAAAGUUAUUUAUUUAUUAUUGGAGUGAAUUGUCUAAUUAAUGUAGUUAAUGGAUGGUUUUGUAACCAUAAAAAUAAUGAAAAUAAUUUUCUAAAAGAAUGAAUGAAAAUUUGGAAAGUUAAAAGGUUUUAGGAAUUAAAAAAAGGGUGUAACAUUAUAAAAGACUACCAAAUAUACUGUAAGAGACAUGCAUUAAAGAAGCUAAGGCAUGCAUACUACCAAAUAUACUAUAAAUAAACCAGAAUUCUUUUUAAGAAAUUAAACAACUAAUUAAAUAUAAAGAAGAAAGAUUAGAAAAUGAAUGAUCAAACAAACUAUGACUCAUUUAUUUUUGACAGGUUCGGCCAGUAUCACCUGACAAUUCAUUUUCACCAAGAGAAUAAACAUGAGUAGCCUUGGAAUCAAGUUCCUCCGAUAAAAGCCACGGAGUUGAUGGGUUAGAGACAGAACCAGAAUUUGAGUUCAACGAUCUGGAUGGAAAAUUCUGAAACUAGCAGCAACAAGAAGUUAAGAUAACGAAUUAUUUUCAAUAUAGAAAGGCUAAUUGUAAGAAGUUGUUAAUGAAGUGUCCAAAUGCAUUAUGGUAAUAUUGGGUGCAGAUUGUUUGGAAGUUUUAUCCGUGUGCUGUGAAGCACCACAGAGUUGAAGCAUAUGAAACCAGUGUUUAUCUGACAAAAAAUAAUGUCAUGAUCAUUGCCUUUCCAUUCCAUAAAUUUAUGGAUAGCAAAAGAAAGAGAACUCUCAACACAUGAAUCACCAUAAAGACACACAUGACAACAUUAUUUUGGAUGAAGUUCUAAUAUUGCAACCAUGGAGGAAAAAUCAGCAAAUCUUAAAUAGAUGUAGUAGUCCAAAUGAUAAAAGUUUGUCUCAAGAUAAUAUUUCAGUAACUGCAGAUGCAUUGUGCUGAAUCUAACUCUUGUGUUUCACGGUAAUGAACAAGGACAAUGUGUUCAAAGGUCCUGAACAAAAAGCAGAAGCAAGUCAUAAUUAUAUAAGUAGAACACGAUAUACUGCCACUGUCUAAUUUCAUUUUUCUUUGCUUGUGGCAUGAUGGGGAUAGACCCCACUGAAACAACUGGUAGCAAGCAAUUUAACAAUUUUCUUUCAACCAUAACAUACUUAUCUAGGAGCCAAUAACCCGCGAACAAAGGUUGGGCUAUCUAGUCCGUGGCAUAGUAUACAUGUAUCCUUUCUACAUUACCAACCUGCUGAAGAGAAAGAAAAGAUUAUCAAAGCACACCUUUCCUUGGUUAUUAAGGCUGUAAAAGAAUGAAAAUUACCAUAAAUCUAAACAUAGUUAAUAUUAGACCAUUGAACAACUUAUAGAUUCAAAAGGAAAGACUCAAACCACCAAUAGACUGGUUAAUCAUUUAAAAUGAUCUCCAACAACAUGAUACGCAGUAUAUCGUGCUAGAUCCAUAAUUACCAGAUGUGGACUCCUAUGGUAAUUUCAUUGAUGAUACGCAGCUAGUAGGCAAGAUUAUGAAAUGAAGACGGUAUGUGAGACGAUUGAAAAGAUCAAGAUGAUAAAAUUAUAGGGAUUUGAAUUUAUAUCUUAAGAACACCAGAGUCAAAUGCUUAAGAUGAUUAACUGUGUUAAAUUUAACUCUAUAAUAUAUAAAUUAUUAGCAAAAACAGUAGAAAUUACUUCAAAUUUGUAGAGAGAACAUAUAAAUUAUAUUCUAGAGAAAGAGCAUCUGAAUUAUAUUCUACAGAAACACGAGCCCAUAGUAUAUGUACUGAGUAGCAAUGACAGUGAAAAAGGGAAUAGUAAGUAACUAAUCUCAUAAACCCCUUUCUCACAUCUAACCAAGUUCUUUCACAACAUGCAAAAGCAUCAAAAUAUUUAAGAAAACUUCCAAUAUUGCAUUUGGAACUCAUUGAUUGACUUCAACGUUUAAGAGUCCUAAAAGACACAGCUUACUUUCUCACCUCUCACCACUAAACCUAUGGCAACAUCUUUUUAUAAGAUAUUAAGCUAAUCUUUAGAUUGUUUACCGAAUAAUCGUCUAUUGUUUUGUAAUUGAUCCCACCAAGCGCUUACGCCACCUUGAAGUUUGAGAGCAACUAAUCGAACCUUCUUGUGUUCGGGUGUAUUGGCAUAGUCGAAAAAAAUUUCUACGUUCUUGAUCCAAUCAAGAAACUUCUCCACGUCCAUUUGACCAUUGAAGGUAGGGAGAUCCACUUUCAUACGUAUUUCUUGAUCUUCUUGAAAGUAUGGUCGAAGUCCAAGCCUUUGUUGAGGUUCUUGAUGAAUGUUCAGCAAGUUGUUCAUCGGAAGAGUCAGAAUCGUUUAAGAAAUUUCCAAGUACGUUGUUUCCAUACAAUCGAUUAUUGUUGAUGUGAAUAGGUUGAUUUCUUAGUAGUUCUUGGUUUACAACAGGGUUUAUUGGUUUUUCUUGUCUUUCUUGGUUUGCUGCAAUUGGGUUUCUUGGGGGCUGAAUUGCUUCUUCUAAAGGUUGGACAUGAAAUCGGGUAAAAAGGUUUGUUAAUUCUACUAACGAUUGCUGUAUAUUCGAUUGCCCUUUUCGAAGUUCUUCAAUAGCUUGUUCUACCAACUGCAAGCGUUGGUUGAAGGAGGCUUCCGCGUCCAUGGAUAAGAGUGGUAGGAUCCAAGUUUUUUUAGGGAAGAGUGAGCUAGGAUCACGCUCUGAUACCAAUUGAUGCAGUAAUUGCAAAGCUAGAAAUCUUUAUGUAUAAUGCCUCUUUUUUUAUGUCUUAUUAAUGAAAAUGAGAAGCUUUUUUAUAGGCUGGAGAUUACAAGAGUUGUUAAACUAACUUGGGGUUGAGUUAGUUUAACUUGGAGUUGAGUUAGUUAUAACUAACUCAAGAUACAAAAUUGGUAAUUCAAAUAACUAAUCCUAAACUAUAAAAAUGGUAAUUCAAACCCCUCCUCUAGGAUAAAACUCAAGAAACAUCAAGAAGGUAGAUGUUCUACAUCAAAGUGUAGAGAACGAUUCAAAAUCCUUGGUGAAAGGAAUGAAUGUUAACUAAUGUGUGUUUAUGUGAAAUUGUUAUGUUAUGAGUAUGUUAAGGAUAAAGAAUGGUUUAUGCGAGAUAAAAUUAUUUGAUGUUGUUUAUGCGAAAUGAUGUCUAUGAAAAGGUAUUGCGAAAAGGAUUUCAUAAAACCUUAGUCUUUUAGACAUUCUUUCAAAAAUUCAUCUUCCAAGAUGAGGUGUUUAGGCCAAGUAGAGAAGAAGGUUGAAGGAUUUGCAGCGAGAUGACCAGACGUUUUGAAAAUAGUUAAGCAUUGGUUGUUUGGUCAAAGUGUUGUAAUUAUGUAUCAAACACAUGUUAUUAAUAAACAUCUUGGUAGGUAUUUAUUAUACUAAAGUCAAAGUGUUGGACUUUAGUAUUGCAUGGACAUACAAUUUUGAAUGAAAAAUCCUUAUAAAUGGGGCCUUUGAACUCAUUUGAUGGGUUGGCUAUUAUAUUUGGGCUUUCACACCAAAUGGAAUUUCUUUUUCUUAUUUACUUAAAAAAAAAAGAAAAUUUACCACGCCCAUUUUUUUCAUCUAUUUCUCUCGUCCGGUUCUUUCAUCCAACGGGUCCCACAACUCGAUUAUGAGUCUAGAGGAUACUAAGUCAAACUUAGUGGUUGUUCGAAUAAAACGCAGCUUCAAAUGUAAGUAUUCUAAAAACCUUAUUUUUUGGUUUAGUCUCGUUAACUAAGCCCAAUUAGGGUAGAAUUUCGAUUCUUUUUCUGUUGUGCAUGUCUUAGUUCUAUCAGUAACUCCUUUCAGGGUGAUAGCUCUCAUCAGCAGACUUUCCAUUGCUGGUUUCUUCCUUAGUCAUCAUUGUAUUGUUGUUUUCCACAAUAGAUAGGGUGAGUUGCAGUUUUACAUGAAAUGCACUGCUCAACCCACACUCUUUUCUCACUAGUUCCUUAUUCUCAAUCUUCAACGCAAAUUUCAUCAUCUGGGCCAACCCAAUCGGUUCCACGGUUUCCACUUCCAUUUUUAUUCAUGGGCUAAGCCCAAUCAUCAAAGUCUCCUCUAACACUACCGUUUGAAGAAAUGCUACCAGAGCUAAAUAUCGAUCAAAUCGGUUGCGGUAUUCUUCUACAUUCAUUUCUGUUUGAUUGAGAAAAAUCUUCCAACCAAAGUUCCUUCUCGAAUUGAUCGAAACUGUACAAGCAUUCGUUCUUUCAGGUCAGCCCAAUUCUUAAAAACUUCCAACUCUUCUUGUGCUUGGUACCAAUCCAAUGCCAGAUCAUCAAAACUAAUAACGCCUGUGGUUAAUUUCUCUGAAUCGGUAAGAUCAUGUAUCUUAAAGAAGCGAUAGGCUCUAAAUGUGAGACCCAUUUCUAAUUUGAGUAAUGAAGUAAAAUUGGCUAGGUAUUAAGAAUUUGGCGUUUGAAUAAAUCAACGAAAAGGAUUAAGCGAUAAAAAAAUUUAUGGUUAAGUAUACGUUAUUGCGAUUCAGUGGGUAGUUCGCGAAGGAAGUUGUGCGACCCAUUUCUAAUUUGAGUAAGGAAGUAAAAUUCGGCUAAGAAUUAAGAAGUUGGUGUUCAAAUAAAUCCAUGGAAAGAUUAAGUGAUAAGAUCUUUUACGGUUAAGUAUACUUUUUUGCGAUAAGUGGGUAGUUCGCGAAAGAAGUUGUGCGAUAAUGUAACACCCGAACUCUAAGGUAAUUAAUUUAAUCGGACCAUUCGAUAUUUUUACUCUUAAUUUUUGUUCGACGUCAUUUUGUUGUUUUGUCUUAAAAAAAAAAGUGUUGGAAAAGUCUUUCAUAAUAAUAAUAUAUUAUUAUUAUUAUUAUUAAUUAGCAUAAAAAAAAGGAAAAGAAAAAGAAAUUAAAAUAUCUUUUUCCUCUCUCCCCUCUCUCACGCGUGCGACACCCUCUCUCCAUCUUUUUCUUCUUCUCUUUCCUGUACCCUAACCCAGCCGACCAUCAUCUUCUCCCCUUCCCUUGCCGUUCAGAUCCAUGGCCUCCGCCCACCGCCGCGUGACCCUCUGCCCAGCCCCGCCGCGUGACCUCUGUCUCCGUCGAAGCCAAGUCCAGCCGUCGUCCAUUCCUUUCCUCUCUUCUUCUCCGUUCGUGAAGCCCAGUCGCCGCGUCAGAUCGUCGAUCGAUUUUGAGGCAGCGCGCACGCCUCCUUCUAGCCGCGCGUUUCCUCUUCUUCCAGCAACGUGUUUUUUCUUCUAACCGCGAUUCACAAACCGACGUACACUCUAAUCUGUUUGCACGAUGGUUUUUGUUUAGAAUCGAUUGCCGCUGCCCCUAUUUUUACUGAGAUCCGUCGAAGUAUUGUUGGUAAGAUUGAAGUUAUGAAAUUGUAGUCGUUUUCAAAACAAUUUAAGUAUGGGUUGUGAUGUUUUCAAGGUGUUCAAACGUUACGGAUGGGUUAAUUGACUAAUUUGAUAAAUUAUUCUUGAAGGUGUGAAAGGUAACCUUGGAUCACUUAAAUUCACAACCAAUUUGUGAAUUUUGAUUUCGAUUUCGUUUGCCCUUAUUUGGAUUGUUUCGUGGACGAUAGUUGAUUAAGGGAGCUUCCCUAACUUUGAGGUAAGGGACUUUCUACUGGACUCACCUAAAGUUUUUGAGUUGUGUUGGACUGUAUGGAUGAUGAUUAAGAUGUACACGUUUGGUUGCAGACUAAAUGUUUAGUGUAUGUUGUAUUUGACUGGAAACAUAUAUAUAAAUACAUUGAUGUGUGAAUUGAUGUGGAUUGCCGAAAGUAUACAUGUGAAUGACUGAAAUUAUGCUUAUGUGUACAUGAUGAUAUUAAUAGAUUGUGCUGUAUAAAGAUUUGGAUGUGAACUAGUGAAUUUGUUUCGGUUGAAUGUGGAUUAUACUGAACUGUGGUUUGCGCUGGUAAAAAUGAGGGGUGUUGUGACUUUGUUGUUUACUUGACAGAUGUAUUAAAAUGUUAUCAACGACCUUCGAACUUAAGUGAGAUAGGUUGACUGUUAGAAUGUUGAGUGAAAGAACUUUAUAUUUUGAAGUAACUGAAAGAUGUCAUAAAUUACCGUAAAGAUGGUUAGAAUGGAUUGAGGGGAAAAAUUGUUAGUUUUAUUGGGAUGUAUGCCUUGUAGGUGUCCUACGGGAUCACCAAUUUUUAUGCGACCUUCGGAGCAUUAGACUGAUAUGUGUUUCUGCAGAACACUAGACUGAAAUGUACGUCCCUCGGGGCGUUAGACUGAAAUGUGCAUCCUACGGGAUCACAAGACUGCGACUGUACAGGGUGUCCCAAUAGAAUGUUAACAAUUUAUUUUCCCCUGACGGGACCAGUAGAGGGUCUCUUACUGGGUAUUUUUAUACUCACCCUCCUUAUGUUUAAUUUUUCAGGCAAAGGUAAUAAAGGCAGCAAACCGGCGAGGGGCAGGAAGGAAGCGUGACCGCCACAGGGGACACUUUAAAAUUUUGCUUCCGCUUAGUGAUUUAUAGUAUUAUUUGUAUUCGAACGUGAGACUGUUUAGAAAAUUUUGAAGUUUUAAAGUAUUCAAAGAUUUGAAACUUUUUAGUUUUAAAUUUUCAUGUGAAUUUUAGUAAUUUAAAACUGGGGCCCAAACAAACAAAAUAAAUUUUGUUCUUUUGAGGUUUUAAAUUUUAAUUAACCAAGGUCUUUUGUCAAAAGUUAAUGACCUCGACUUAGGUAAAAAGUUGGGUCGUUACAGAUAAGAAGCGAAAAAGUCUUUGCGUAAGUUAAGAAAUGAAAGUUUUGAGUGUUAGACUAGGAGUUUUGGGUGGUCUUCGCGAGAAGAACCAAGUGUUUCGUGGAGAAGAAGUCUACGAGGAAGCCUUGGAGUUUAAGUUCGUGAUAAGAGUUUUAUGCGAGUAAAAGUUGGUUAGUUCAGGUGGAACGUUUCUUAUAAUAAAAAUAUAAUCAAGCGAUAAGGUUAUUCACGAGAAAUGUUAAGUGGUUGAAUUUAUUCACGGUUUGGGUUAGGCGGGGAGCAAGGUUUGUAAAGAAAAUGUCAAAUCUGAUUUGACAUGGGUUAACAUGUAAGAUUAAGGAUUUGAGCAUGACUAGGUUAAAUAUUAAGGAUUUGCAUGACUAAGUUAGUAUAAGGGAUCUAUAAAAUAGGAGAAUUUAGGUAACUAAGGAGGGGAUGACGAGAGUUUUGUUGAAAUGUUAAAGUGUUGUUGGUUUAGCCACGCGAAAAGAUGGUUGUGAGAAGGACUUCUUUAGUGAAGUUUGGUGAGUGCUUUUCAGUCAAAAGAAUUUAUGUUAAGAAACUUUAUUACGAUUUCUCUUUACUGAUUUGAAAGAAGAAUUCAGAUGAGAAUGUUUCAGAAAGAUUUCUACGAAAAGUUAUGUUUUCAAGCAUUAUUUAUAAUAUUAAAGCUUGAUUUGAUGACUAUGAUUUCAAUACUAUGUUUCUUUGAGAUGAUGCUAACUUUUGUGUGCACAUAAAGAGUGAAGGCCACCAUGGAGUGUACAAACUACAUGGUAAUAAGAAGCUGACUUAUGCAUUGAAAUGAGCGUAUAAAGCUUAGCGGUAUAGCAACAAAGACGAAUUUGUAUGUUCUCAGAUGUUGAUACAGUAGUCUAAACGCGAGGUAAUGAGACCAAGCGUAGAGAACGAUUCGGGAUCCUUGACAAAAUGAAAUGAUUUUUUAAGCAUAAAGAAAGGUUUAUUCGAAAUGAAAUAAUUUUUCGGUAUAUUUAAAUGAUUUGAUAUUAUUUUUACAAAAUGAUUAUGAAAAGGUAUUGUGAAAGGUUUUCAUAAAACCUUAAAGGAUUUAAAAAAAAAGUGGACCAUUCAACUUAAUUCCCAUCCACUAUCCUCUUGUCCAACAUGAAACUUUAUCUUAGUAAAACUUCUUGAUCCACUAUUUUACAAAAAUAUUCAAAACAAUACCAUACUACACCAAAUGUGAUAUUUUGGUAACACUUAAAAUGGUCAGAAAUACCAUUUUCCUGACUUUUUUUUCAUCGACCAUUAAAGAAAAAGUAUAGAUGAUGUUUCACAAAAACUUCCAAACCAUUGUGUUAGUUAUCGUUUUGGAUGAGGGUUGGGGUAGAGCAUCAAUACUCAAAGGUUGUUAAGAAUUAAGACCUAAGACUUGAAAACGAAACCGCCUGCCUGGUUGACAACAACACCAUCCCACUAGAGUGCACAAUGAUGAUUUAUUGCAUUAAGAAGAAGAUGGCAGUUAACCUUAGCGCCAUAAUCAGAACCUCAAUCCUCCCUUUGAUGAAAGCACCUAAAGGUGUCAUGCCUUUCCCCUCUACCACAUUGAAGCUCUUUGUCUAACACUACAAGAAAUGAGGACUCUCUCGAUGCAUAAAAUCAUUGGGAGAUAUAUAAAAAGCGUCAGAAAAGGCUUUUCUGACGCACUAAUAUACGUCGGAACACAAGUGAGGAAAAUGUAUCGGGAGAGGAACUCCGAUGCACAAUGUUGUGCGUUGAGGGUUUCUAGACAUCUUCCGACGUUGUAUGAACGUCGAAGAUGUUGUCAAUAUAGCAUCGAGAGAUGUCUAGGAACCAUGCGUCGGGAGAUCCUCUAUUUUUUUUUAAAAAAAAUAACUUCAUUUAAUUCCUAAAUUCAAAUUGAAAAUUUUAAAUUCAAACUCAACUUCAACACUUCAACCUCAACUUCAACACUUCAAUCUCAACUUCAACACUUCAAAUUCAAAUUUCUAAAACCUACAACUAAUUCAAAAUUCUAACAACACUUGAAAUUAAAUUUCAUUACUAAAACUUACAACUAAUUCAAAAUCUAAAUACUAAAGAAAUCUAAAAUCUAACACCUAAAACAAAUUUGAAAUCUAAAUACUAAAACUAAUUAACUAAAACAAAACAAUAACUAAACUAAACCACUUACCGAUGGCGACGACGACGGGACGACAACAGGGACGACAAUGGUGAUGACAAUGCCCUCUUCUUCUCAAUCUUCCUCUCGGUCUCCCUCUCCCUCUCUCAUUUUCUUUCUCUUUAUGUUUCCUUUAUGUAAAGAAUGGAGUUAAAAAAGACAGAGAACUCCUGACGCACGACGAAAACGUCGGGAAUAGCACCCUAUUCAUGACCUGAUUUGUUAAACGUCAGAAAUCCCUAAACAUAUUCCCACGCGAUUAAUGAUACGUCGGGAAUCCCUAAAUCUAUUCUCAACGUUGCUGCCACACGUAAGAGGAAGGCGUUACAUACAAUUAAUGAUCUGCCCUUCCUCCGACGGUUCCUAAGCUUUUAGCUUUUCUGCAAUCACCCCUUAUGCAUGUUCUCAGGCGAAUCUCAACCAAACCAUAACACUCCAUCAAAAUAAAGAAGAAGAGAGACACCUCAAAACCUUAAAUAAAGUUAAGGGAGAAGAAUGGAAUGACAGAGAAGAAGAAGAGGCUUCUCCGCUGCCACCACUACUCAAGAGGAGAAAUGUCCACGAUGACGCGUCUAACUCGUAUAAAAAGGAAAAAAGUCGAAAGCUAGACGUGGCCAUCGACCCUAAACCUCUUGCAAUCUGACCCCUAACUCUCUCAUUGCCUCCUCCAAAAUCCAAAUCCUUCAAUUCCAGUCCUCAUCCAAAAAUUGAAACUCCCCCUCAUCAAUCUUACCCAAGUCCUCUCGCAUGUCUAUUAUCCUCUCACCACCAAAUCCCCCAUCAUUAUAACAACAUCCUUCACCUCACGACCUGACCGAACAAGCCCUUACCCGAUCAAAAGGGCAUUGUUAGCGAAGAAGAAUUCCUUAGGGUUGAGGAGGAAGACCUGCAUCACAUUCCUCUCCCUCCGCACACUACUAUACGUAAUUCCAAGGAGGAAGACUUACAUCUCGCGUGUAAACACCGAUACCCAAUAAUCCUUAAUUCAUCUAAAGAACUCAAUAGGACAUUAGGGGUUGAUGUUAGGAGAAAGAUGGUUUAAGAUUGGAUAGUUUAGUUGAAGUGUUAUGGAAGAUGUGUUAAUAUUUUUAAGAUGAUAAAAGAAAAGUGUCAUCGUAACAAAGAAAGGCCUAAAGGGUGUUCGAAAAUUGGCUAAGUGUUGGCUAGGGCAUGUUGCAUACUCUAGGCGGCCAAAAGUGUCAAGCGAACCUCUAAAGAGACAUGUUGGGUGGCCAAAGGUUGAGAUGUGGUAUGGCCGAAAGGUGUCAAGACAACCUCUAUAAGACAAGGCUAUAUGACCAAGGGUAUGCGCUAGGCAAGGAAGCUAAGCAUCUAGGAAAUGUCAAGAAACUCUAAAGAAGUUAGAACGUGGAUAAGGAAUGUCAUGCAACAAAGAGGUGGGCUAUGUGGACAUAGGUCAUGCGGCCAAUGGGGCAAUUCAACCAAAUGCUAGUCAAGAUGGCAUGGUUUGUUGAAGGCAUUGAGGGAUGUUUGGGAGAUUAGGCGAGAAAAAAAAGUCUUAGGCAUUCUUGGCAGUAAGAAUUUACUAAAGAACCCUCAUAGAAAAAGGGAUAUGCGUCCAAGGAUGACUUAAGCAAUAUGAGGUAAGAUGUGCGGUAGAGUACAAGUGGACAACAUACAAGAUACCUAAGUUUUGCCAAAUAAGUGUCUUGCAUGAGUUGGAAAGUGGCAAGUAUGGGCGUAAGAGGUGAGAAAAAAAGGUUCAACCAAAGAGCAUGCAAGGAUCACUAUAUGUACAACUUUGGACGAAUUAUGUUAACAAUCAACUUGUGUUAAUUGGGUAACUCUACUUCGAAAAUCUCCUAAAUUGAGUGUAGUAUCAAGAGAAAGGCUACCAAGAAGAAAGGCAUUGAAGUGAAGAAAGACUCAAAGGUCAUUUUCAAAAAAAAAAAAAAAAAAACUUGAACAAUGUAGAGUAUUUUGAGCUACAUAACUCAAUACUUGGAAUUUGUUAGUGACACUUUGUGGUAAGCUAGUGAAGACAUUCUAAGUAAGUUUGUAGAAGGAAUCUUAUUGAUUUAAGCUUCAAAGUCGAGUUAAGUUUCUGGUAGAAAAAUCAUAUUUCUAGACAAGGCCAUGGGUGGGUUGAUUGCCAGGAUGACAAGGUGAGAUGAGCGUGUGUUUUGAGCGAAAGAGGUUAUUUAGGCUUGGGACAUGCAAGAAGCAUGUCCUGGCAUGAUCAAGCAGCCUGAGCCACGCGUCAUUACACACUCUAUUAUGAAAGUUGAGUAUAUUGCUACUUGUGAAGCAGCAAAAGAAGCAGUUUUGGUGAGGAAGUUCUUGCAUAAUUUGGAAGUUGUUCCAAACAUGAACAUGCCCCAUCACUUUAUAUUGUGAUAAUAGUGGGGCAUAUUACUAAUCCAUUUACAAAGACUCUCAUGGCUAAAGUGUUCGAGGGUCUUCUAGAAAGUCUAGAUCUGCGAGUUAUGUACAUUAGGUAAUCUAGGAAAAGUGGCAGAUGUGUAAUGGGUAUGAGGAUGCCCUAGUUUAUUGUAUUUGUAUAUACACAUUUUAUGUAAUACACUUGUACAUUUUACCAUUUUCAAUGUUAGAGGAUUACUUUAUUAUGAACAUCCCAAAGAGACGAGAGUUUUAGUCCAAGUGGGAGUUUGUUGGAAUUUAUGUCCUAAAACUCGUAGAUUGUAAAUAUAAUCCAUUGACCAUUGUUAAUAAAGUGUUAUUAUUGUAAUAAUUGUUAUUGAUUAUAUUAUUAGUUUUGUCUUAAUAACUCAAAUCCAAUAAACUAACAUCCUAAACUGUUUAAUAAGUAUUGAAUAGUAUGUAGAGACAUACAGGGAUCAAUGUUCGAGAUCAGCUUAAAGGGUCUAUAGUAUACGGAUAAGACUGGGUACCUUUAUCCUGGUAACAUUAUGAAUACGACUCACUUUGUAUUUGAUACAAAUACAAUGAUCCAAUGUGUUCAUGUAGUUGACAUGCGAGUGAAGGUAUCCUAUGCAAUGAGAUUGCAAUAGACUAGACUGUGAAAUAGUAACCACUUGGUGUUACUACAUUAACUAGUUAGGUUUCUAUUUCACUAGGAUGACCUAGAUAACUUAGUCUUAAUCUUGAGUGUAUUAUGAACUCAAUGAUCUUGGAUGAAUUUGACUUCAAAUACAAACUUGGAUUCCACAACCUAAACCAAAAUAAAAUAAUAUAUCAUGUUAAGAUGGAUUCACAUAGCAACAUUUUAUCAAAUGGUUGCAAUGUUUCAAAUAAGCAACAAUUAAAAUUCACAUAUCGAUUUGGCAUCUAUAAAUAUACAAACUAAAAAGUACCUAAAUGUCAAUUAUUUACCCAAUAAGGCUAACUAAGUAACCAACGUCUAAUAUGUUUUGCAAUGAAAAAGGUUGCCAUAUUGUUAAUUUGGCCAUAUUGUGAAGGCAACCUCUUAGAUGUGUUUGUGAGAAAGGAAAGAAAUACCAAAAUAAGUAUGGACUAAGAUAGUAUCAAAUAAAGUUAAAGUUGAAUUUUAAAGCUCUAUUUUUUUCAAGAUAGAGAAAUUUCAGCUAAAGAGGAAAACACUAAGGACAACCAAGCAAAAAAGUCUAACAAAUAUCAAAAGAGAACAUGCAGGAAAGAAAGAAUGUAAAUAAGGUUUUAUCCGCACCAAGCAAAAAAGUCUAACAAGUAUCAAAAGCUUCAUAAGUUGUACUAGAAUUCAAAGCUCUAAACUCUAAAGAAUGUAAAUUUCUUUGAAGAAAUUUGUGUAUAAAGGUCACACAGUUGAAAAUUCAAUACCUUUUCAAGAAUGUUGUUGAGAAGAUUAUUGUGAUGAAUCUUUGAAUCCAAAUUAUGGAGACAAGAUAAAUAAAUGAGUUCUGAUUCUAACUGACUGAAUGAGAGUUUAGAAAAUAAGAACAUUGGAGUUGAAUUAUCAGCAUUUAUUUUAAUCAAACUUACGAUAGCAAACCAAAUUAUAGAGAGAGAUCAAAUGCUAGGAUAAAGGAAUAAUCUUACAUUUGGUGAGUUCCCAAAUGUUGUGGUAGUCACGAGAGUUAUUCCACUCGAAUUGUCUUAGACAAGAGGCUUCCAUUCAGCAAGUACUGGUGAGAAUUAAAGUGGAAUGACAAACUUAAAAACACCUAAUCUUUAACAAACUUUUCCGACUUUUUGCAAUUAUUUUUUAACACAAGAUAUCAAAACACACUUAAAAACCAUAACAACCAAUUACCAUAAAACGGUGUCCAAUAACAAUAAUUGGGUCAACCCAAACAUCAUCAAAUUCUUGGGAAAGGUUGUGGACUAGACCUUCACCAUCUUGCCCCUAAAACAAGUUAAAGCUUAAGGAAAGAACACAGUAGAAACAAAAAUCAUAAACUCAUCAGUUAGAUAGUAUUGGUGGUCAAAACCUCAAGGUCUCACUUCUUCCAUUUUAUAUUACCAAAUUUGAAAAUGAUUUUUAAUAUAUGAUCAUUACUUGAAACAUGUUGGUGUACAAGUGUGAAUGAAACUAAAUCAAGUUUGUGUUUUAUGUUAUUGUUUUUGACAGUAUAUUUAUGUGCUAUGCAAUCCAUGAGAGUAUAUUUAUGUGCUAUGCAAUCCAGAAGGGGGAAUGCAAGCUAUACCCAAUUCAUAAUUGUAUUUGGAACACUAAUGAUUUUAGCACAAAUUCCAUCUUUCCAUUCUCUAAGACAUAUAAACCUUAUCUCCCUCACUCUAUACCUUGGCUAUAGUGCUCUUGCAACAUAUUAAAAUUCUCGUAAUUAAAAAUUCAUACACAAUUUAAAUUAAAUUAAACAUCAAGACCCCUGACGAAGAUGAAUCUCUGUUCAUUUUUCUUUUUAUUAACAAACAAAAGUUUUUAGGUCAACUUCUUUCAACAACCUCCUCAAGGAUCCUUAAUUAUCUCUUUCCAAGUUCAUAACCACUCUAGUCAUGCAAAGAUUAAGGUUCAUGGCCAAUCAACAAUUAAUCUGUGAUUAAGAUAUUAUGAACGCUAUUCACAUAAAAACAUGAAAAGAUUAAGAGCAAAUAAUCAGAUGCAUUACAAAGAAUAAUUCAUAAACUUUGUCUACAUCUAUCCCUAGGAUUAAGAGUUUAGCUACCCCAUACUUCACAAUCUAAAACACAAAACUCAAUACAAUACCCAUAAAAAAAAUUAAAGGAGAAGAAAAAGAAAACGAAGAAGAAAAGCUAGUGAUUCGUAUUAUUAUAAUACUGUGUAUAACAGUAUGUGUUUUUUAAUAUUCUCUGUUUCCAGCUCCAAUGUACCAAAAUAUUAUCACAAACUCCACAAUCCUUCUCUUUCCAAUCCCUAAACUAACCAAUGAAUCAUAUUCGCACGCUUGGUAGCCUUGUUCAAAAUAUUAUAUAUUACAAUUAUAAUAACUUGUAUCCCCCCUUUUCAAGCCUAAAAUGCAAAACCUUUCUUCCAUUCUCUAAGGCAUAUUUCCUCUUCUUUAAUUUUGCAUUCCAAUUUUAAAUUACAAAUUACAAAUUUUAAUCACAAAGGAAAAAAGGAAAAUUAUUACCUUUAGAAAGGGAAGAAAAUAAAUGAGUAACCAUGAAGGAUUUGGAAACGAAUAGAGGUUUAGCGAAAGUGGAAUGCGACAGAAGGACGGUGAAUGUGUUUACUCGUUUUCGAACAGAGAAUGUGUUUACGCAUUCCGAACGGUGAACAGACGGACGCAAAUCAACGAAGGUGAAGGGAACGCAAAGCAGACGGACGGUGACGGACGAUGAACGCAAAUGAAUGAAGGUGAAUGCUUAUGAACGCGAAGGGAAGUCUUUUCCGGCGAUGAACGCAGAUGAAUGCACAGAUGAACGCGAAGGGAAGGUUAGGUGAACGACGCUUUUGAUUUCGGGUGGAGAAGGGACAAAGUCGCGGCGAAUUAGGUUUAAUUAAGAAAAGGGGAAGUGAUCUAAUUGAAACGUUGGGUUUUGUAAAAGAAUAUUAACACAAUAAUUUUUUAGAAAUUUCUUGACGUUUUUAAAACGUCAAAAACAAAUUAAAAUUUCUUGAACUUUUUAAAACAUCAAUGAUUUUUUAGAAUUAUCUUGACGUUUUAAAAACGUCAAGAAUUUUUUAUAAAUUUCUUGACGUUUUUAAAAAUGUCAAGAACUUUUUAGAAUUAUCUCGACAUUUUAAAAACGUUAAGAAUUUUUAUAAAUUUCUUGAUGUUUUUAAAACGUCGAGGAAAACUAUAUAUUAUUGACGUUUAAAAAACAUCAAGAAAGUUGAAUUCAUAAACAUUCUUGACGUUUUUUAAACGUCAAAAAUUAUUAGAUAUUUCUUGAUGUUUAAAAAACGUCAAGAAAAAGUACAUCUUACUUGACGUUUAAUUGCAUAAAAAACGUCAAGAAAAAACGUCAAGAAAGUUGAAAAUUGGCCUUUCAUAAAAAUUCUUGACGCUUUUUUAUUUGAAAUCACAUCUUUCUUGACGUUUUUGGGAAAAAACGUCAAGAAAGGAAAACUACAACCGUCAAGAGAGCCUGUUUUUGUAGUAGUGAUUUUGGGGACAAGACUGAGUGGGGAGUUGGGAUUAUAAUUGCACAAAAUGGAAUUCACUCAUUUCCUACUGUAGGAUAAGUAGAUGAAUGUUAGCUUAAAUGGUGUCUCCAAAACUUAAACAAAGGGCCCGUACUCUCUCUAUGACAUGAGAGGGGUUUUUGUUUAUUAGUAGGACCAUAAACAAGUUGUUCAUUAGAGGAGCACUAGUUUUUAAGGAUUAGAGGUAACAUAGGGGUAAAGCGGUAAAUUGAUCCAACUGGUGUUACAAACACUCGUGAAGGACUAACUUACUAUUAUUGGUCUAUAUCCGUGGACACAGAAAUAUAUUUUUAGUGAGAAGAGUUCAGUUGUGAGUCUUUAGUGGAGUGUACACACAACUAACGAAUAUUGAUUAAUGUGGUUAAUGAGUUUAGCCAAUUAAUCUUAGAUCGUUGUAGCUUCUGAUCUGUAGGUCCACUAGGUCCCUUUCCUAGCUCGUAAAGGGUAAUGAGAUUUAUUUGUAUUAGUUGUAAUUUAAAAUGUUUAAAUUUAACUUGGGAAUUAGUAUAAUGUAUAGUGAUACAUUAUAAUAUAAAGUUUAUCAAACUUUACUAUAUAAAUUUAACUUUGGGGAUGAUUUAAAAUUAAUUUAUGAGAGAUAAAAUAUUUGAAUGAGUUCAAAUAUUAAUUUAAUGUAAAUUGGAUUCAUAUUAAAAUUAUUGAGAGAAACUUAUAUUUGAAUAUGAUUCAAAAUUAAUUUAAGUUAAAUAUAAGAUAAAUAAUUUAAUGUUAUUAGUUAAUUGGAGAAUUAAUUAAUAGUUUAGUUUAAUAUUAUUUAAUUAAAUGUGAUUUCAUUAAUUAUUAACUAAUUGAUUAAUGUUUAAUUAAUCAGUAGAUUUGAAAUAUAUAUUAAUUUAAUUGUUUGUAAAUUAAUAGAAUCUCAUAGUUCUCUUCUACUUCAUUUUUUAUUCCUAGAAGGAAAGAGAGUUAUAAUAUCUAGAAGAAAACAAUUUUCUUAAAAAAUGAAUAUAAUAAAAAAAGAAAAAAUAAGGCUAACGCUAUUGCUCUUUGCAAAAAGAAAAGAGUUUCUCUCAAUAUCUCUAAACUUUUUCCCAUCCCAAUUGGUUCCACAAACCAAUCUUAUCACAGAGGUACUCUUUGCAAUUUAAGCUCUCUUUGCAAUGGACAGUCUUCAAAGUUUUUUUAACGAUGUUUCUAAUGCUUUCCUUUCUCUCUCAUGUUUAAUAAAACAAAUUUCUCUUAAAACCUGUAGGGAGGCUACAUCGUAUCGAAUUUCAUACAACUGACGUGUUCAUCGAGUUACAACAAGUGCCGCACAAUAGUCUGUUCCAUGUUUGAAAAGUUGUGAGUGUGACACGCUGCACAUGAGGUUAGAACGAGACAUGGCAAGGCAAGCUCUACGCGCACCUGCCAACUUCUGCCACAAUAUUUUGUACGCAAGCUAAUGUCUUUGGGCUGUUUUUAUGGUAUUUGGAAAUUUUAAGCAAAGUUUUGAUAUUUUUAUGAUCAACAGGAAUUAAAUGGAAUUAUUUCCCAUUAUUUUCAUUAUUUUAGAUCAGAAGGAGAUCGAACAAAUUUAUAAGCCAAGGGUCCAAGCUACUCUCUAUAAGUGACAAAAAUGAGUUUAAAGUUGAUUUCUAAACAUGAAUUUACUAUCAAAUGUUUCAAGCAUGCUUUGAUGUUUGAAUAUUUGAGGAUACUGACUUAUAAAGUAUUUCCAAAGCAUGAAUUUAGAAACAUUUUGGUAAUGAAAAUUAUAAGCAAUCAUGAUUGUGCUAAGUUAUCAAAAUGUUUAAGCUUGAAAAUAAUAUUAGCAUGUUUUAGUCUAUACCUAAAAUAUUCUAAGAUAUAUAGCAACCCUUCGGGAGAGAUUUUCUUGUGCAUAGAGGUCAUUUGAUUUGGAUAUUCAGUAAAUACCUAGCUUUCCAUCAUUGGUAUUAGAUAAGAGAUGAAGACUUCUAAAGAUGCUUAGUUUCCCAUCUCAAGGGACGAGACCCUGUACGAAUGCCUAGUUUCCAUCUCAUUGUAGUUAUAACGAGAUAGGGCACAAUUGAUGCCUAGAGUUUCAUCUCGUAAGUAUCGUAUCACGGGAUAGGGCUUCUAUGCCUAGUUUAUUGUUUUUCGUCUUGACGAUUCUAGUAUAGCAACUGAAAGGGAAAGUUUGAGAUAAGUUGUUUGAGUUUGAUUUCAUUUAUGUUAAGAGUUAAUUGUUAAAUACUUAUUAUUUCAAACAAUGUUUUAUAAAACAAUCACUCAUUGGGCUAUUUAGCUCACUCUUUGGAUAAAUAUCCCCAUAUGGAUUACGUUGUUUGGAAAAUUAAACUGUCUUUAGUACUUCAAAGAAAACUUCCCUCCCAUGUCCUCUCACCUCAUGUCAUCCCAUUUGUGUUGAUAACAUGAAAAAUAUUUAGCACCUUUUAAUUGAUUAUGUCUUUGUAUCGAAAUGUUGGUUCCGUCUUCUCCAAACAUUCAAUAUUUGUUGGGAUUUUUUGCUCAAUCAAGGCUUAUUCUUGUUUGUUCUCGACCUGCUACCUAUGAUUUAUGAUUUUGUUUUGGACAUAUUAUUUUAUCAUUUUGUUUGGUUUUAUAUUUGUGGCUUUUUUUUUGUUUUGUUUUGUGUUUUGUUUUUUUUUUUUUUUGAAAAGGAGACAACCUCUUUAUUAAUAUUAAAAUAAUAAAAUAAUUAGACAAAAGCUCAUGGUACAAGAGAGUUAUACAAUGAACAUGUAACCAUGGAUCAGAGGGUGCACCUUGGCAUCUCAACUAGGUUGACACCCCCAUAGCACCCUCAUCAUAUCCAACCAAGCUAAAACCCAUAACAAAGGAGUAAUGUCCAAAGGCAAAACAAACACAAAAAAAGCCUUCUAUUUGUGGCUUUUGUUUUGAUCUUGUGUUGUCGCUUUUUGGAUGUGAUGAGGGCGCUAAGGGGGUGUCAACACUCAAACCUUAUGACGUAACAAAUGCAAAUUUUAUGACGUUUUUAGGGGUAGUCCCUCCCAUUACUAGCUCAACACUCAAACGGAGUCUCCUGUAUAAAAUAUAAAAUAAUACAGACACAAAUAGUGAAUGAAAUCUUAUGACGUAACAAAUGCAAAUUUUAUGUAUACUGCAAUUGACUAAAUAUUGAACAAGAAAGCCCAAGGGAAUACAAAAAAAUCCAACGUUUUUAGGGGUCAAUUUGAAAAAUGGCAAAAUUACUUUUUCUUUUCAAUUUUAGCAAACAACAUUUUUUGCACGUGCAUGGUAUUUUAUAAAAUACCAGAAUAUCAACAUUCUUCAACUGUAGUUAUUUCGUUUCUACAUUGUAAUUAAUUUAUGUUAUGCAUUUAUCAGUUUUUAAUUAUCUUUUACUUGAAAUAGAUACAUCAACUCAUAUCAUAAUAUUUUUCUUAAUAUCUCGAGUCUCAACUAAUUAAUUCACAUAUUAAUAACUUUAUUCAAUCAUACUAAUUUCAAAAUAACCUAAUUGAAUUUGAAUUUCAAAAUAACAAAAUUAUUAUUUUUCGGAAUUUGAGAGUCUCAACGAUAGAUUUUGUAUUAAAAUAACCUUAAUUGAAUUUCAAAAAUAAAAAAUAUCAACAUGUUCACUAUCUUUAUCUCAAAAUAACAUUAAUGCCUUGAAUAUCAAGAUAAUUAAAUUAUUAUUUAAAAUUGGAAGAAACUCAACAUUAAAAAAUAUUAACUUGUUCGCACACAAGCAUAGAAGCACUGCGCACACACGUACACAUGCACACUUACACACACGCGCACACACGCACAUCUACACACAGACACCCACAGACACACGAACGCAUGCACAUACACAUGCACACGCGCACGCAUGCACAUACACAUGCACACGAGCACGCAUGCACACGCACACACCUAUCCACACGCGCGCACAAGCACACACACAUGCACAAACGCACACACGCGUACGCACAAACGCACACACUUAUACACAUACGCACACGCGCACAAACACGCACGCACGAGCACACACACACCUAAGCACACACGCAAUAGCCUGCGCACACACACGCACGCACAAACACAUACAAACAUGCACACACCCACACAUAUAUGCACACGGACACUCGCAACAAACGCACGCACAUACACAUACGCACACCUACCUACACGCACACACGUACACACGCACAUAUGCAUAAAGAUGUAUAAAUGAGUUAAAAUUAAAAAAAAACUACAUUAAUUGUGUUUAGAAGGACUUUUAAACCAUGUUCAUUUGACUUAAUAACAUUAAUUAAACUAUAAUUUCUAUCAAUAUUGGCUUAAAAAGUGUCAUUCGUGUAAUUAUUUCAAUAUAAUGCGAUUUUAUCCAAUUCUAUUUGCAACAAACAGGUCGAAUAUGAACCAGUAGAUAUACAUGUCAUAAGAGAUAUAGGAACAUUUUUAUGGUCAUUUUGAAAAAUGCAAAACUUUUUGUAACGACCCAACUUUUCUAGGUAAGUCGAGGUCAUUAAUUUUUAAUAAAAGACUUUGUUGAUACAAAAUGAAGCGUAAGUCAAUUUAAAAAAAAAUAUGUCAGGCCUGAUUUUCAAAUAUCAAGAAAACUUAAAAAUAACACUAUUUACAAAUAAAAGUUUGUAAACUAAGUUUUUAGUACAUCUUAAACCUUAAAAGAAACAUAAGCGGAAGCAAAAUACACAUUUCCUAUGGCAAUCACGCUUCCUUCCUGCCCCUCGCCGGUUUGCCACCUUUAUUUCCUUUGCCUGAAAAUUAAACAUAAGAAGGGUGAGUAUUUUAAAUACUCAGUAAGAGACCCUAUACUGGUCUCGUCAGGGAAAAUAAAUUGUUAAAGUUCUAUUGGGACACCCUGUACAGUCGCAGUCUUGUGAUCCCGUAGGAUACACAUUCAGUCUAACGCCCCGAAGGACGUACAUAUCAGUCUGACGCCCCGAGGGACGUACAUAUCAGUCUAACGCCCCGAGGGACGUACAUAUCAGUCUAACGCCCCGAGGGACGUACAUAUCAGUCAAGUGUUCUGCAGAAACACAUAUCAGUCAAAUACUCCCGAAGGUGCAAAAUAAAUUGGUGAUCCCGUGGGACACCUACAAGGUAAACAUCCCAAUACAACCUAACAAUUUAUCCCCUCAUUCCAUUCAACCCAUCUUUCAGUUACUUCAAAUCACAAAGUCCUUUCUUUCAACAUCCUAACAGUCAACUUAUUUUACUACAGUCAUAUGUCUGUCAAUAAUAUGCUAAUACAUCAGUCAAUCACUAUACAGUCAAGUCAAUACACCCCUCAGUUCACCAGCACAAACCACAGUUCAGUAUAAUCCACAUCCAACUGAAACAAAUUCACUAGUUCACAUCCAAUCUUUAUACAGCACAAUCUAUUAAUAUCAUCAUGUACACAGAAGCAUAAUUUCAGUCAUUCACAUGUAUACUUUCGGCAAUCCACAUCAAUUCACACAUCAAUGUAUAUAUAUAUGUUUCCAGUCAAAUACAACAUACACUAAACAUUUAGUCUGCAAUCAAACAUGUACAUCUUAAUCAUCAUCCAUACAGUCCAACACAACUCAAAAACUUUAGGUAAGUCCAGUAGAAAAUCCCUUACCUCACUUUUAUGCAAGUUCUUCAAUCUACUAAAUCCAAUGAAUCAAAUCCUAAACAUAAUCAAUCAUAAAAUCAACAUCUUUCUAAAUAGUUUCAACCAUUCAAAUUACCCCAUAUGUAAAUUCCACAACUUACCCAAGAAGUGGAAAAUCAAGUCCACUUCAACCUUUUGGAAAAUCAAGGAUUCGCUCACUGAAUCAAGAUGUACCUUCAAGAAUUAAGCAUUUCGCCAACAAUUAAAUCCAAUGGCAGCAUCCAACAAAAACCAAGAAACCAACAAAAACCAUAACUUGUUCUUACCCAAAUAUGAGCCCAAUGGUUCACGGCGAGGCAGAUCUGGACGACGAUUUGCUUUGCGAGGGAGGCACGACGGUUGUGAGCGAGAGGCACGACGGUUACAGGCGGAUGGGCGCGACGGUUUAGAUCUGAAGAAGAAAAGAGAGGGUGGCGGUUGGGUUCGGCGAGCGGCGGCGGUUUUGCUUCGCGAACGGAGAUGGAGACGGCAAUUCGGCGCGCGGGACGACUGCAACGCAAAUCUGGACUGGCAGCGGCACGGUCUUGCUUCGCGGCUGGGUAUGGUGAAAAAGAAAGAGAAACGGAAGAAGAGAAGUCUCGGGUGGCGGUUGCUGGGCUACGGCGGUUGCUGGGCUGCGGCGGAAGGAGAAAAUGGAAGGAAGAGAUCGGCGGAAAGAAGGAGAAGAUGGAUGGGAGUCACGAUCGCACGGGAAGAAGAAGGGAGAAAAGAAAAGAAAAGAAAAGAAGAAAAGAAAAAUAAUAAAGAAAUUUUUAAUAUAAAGUAAAAUAAAAAUAUAUAUAUAUAUAUAUAUAUAUAUAUUACCUUUUUGGGCAUUACAUUCUUCCCUCCUUAAGAAACUUUCGUCCUCGAAAGUUCUAAUCCUGAAAUAACUCUGGAUAACGAGUCCUCAUUUCUUCCUCUCGCUCCCAUGUCGCCUCUUCAAUUCGAUGAUUCCGCCACAAAACCUUUACUAAUGGAAUGCUUCUAUUACGAAGCAUCUUUACCUCUCUAGCCAAAAUCUCCACAGGUUGUUCAACAUAGCUCAAAUGCUCGUCAAUCUCCAAGGUUCAUAGUCCACUACAUGAGAUGUAUCGGCCACAUACUUCCUCAACAUCGAAACAUGGAAAACAUUAUGAACUGCAGAGAGAGAUGGUGGUAAUGCCAAGCGAUACGCCACAACACCAACCCUCUCUAAGAUCUCAAAUGGUCCAACAAAACGAGGACUUAACUUUCCCUUCUCAAAACGCAUAACACCCUUCAUAGGUGCUACCUUCAAGAAUACCUUUUCUCCCACAUCGAACUUAAGGUCUUUUCGCCGUACAUCUGCAUAACUCUUCUGUCUACUCUGCGCUGUUUGCAUACGCGUCCUAAUCGUUUGAAUAGCCUCAUUAGUAGACCGAACUAAUUCAGGUCCCAUCAAUCUAUGUUCACCAACCUCACUCCAACAAACAGGGGUUCUACAACAUUUGCCAUACAAAGCCUCAAAUGGUGCCAUACCGAUGGUAGCCUGGAAACUGUUGUUAUAAGCAAACUCCAUCAAAUGUAGAUGAGAGUCCCAACUACCUGGAAACUCUAUAACACAAGCUCGUAGCAUAUCCUCUAAAACUUGGUUCAAACGUUCAGUUUGACCAUCAGUCUGUGGAUGAAAGGCUGUACUGAAAUCCAAUCUCGUACCCAUAGCAGUCUGAAGUCCCUUCCAAAACUUGGAAGUAAACCGUGCAUCCCUAUCAGAAACAAUCGAUACAGGCACUCCAUGCAGUCUCACAAUCUCAGUUAAAUACAACUCUGCCCACUUACUAGCAGUAUAAGUGGAUUUUCCUGGUACAAAAUGUGCCGAUUUCGUAAGCCUGUCUAUGACAACCAGAAUCACUGUGAAACCCUUCAGGGUCUUAGGCAGCCCUGAAAUAAAAUCCAUCGACACAUUCUCCCACUUCCACUCUGGCACACUUAAGGUUGUAAUAAACCUGCUGGUUUCUGUCUAGGUGCCUUAACUUGCUGACAUACUAGACACUUACUAACAAAUUCCGCCACUUCCCUUUUCAUAUUCCGCCACCAAUAAAAUCGUUUUAGAUCCUGAUACAUUUUCGUGCUACCAGGAUGCAUGGAAAAUGGGGAAUUAUGGGCUUCAUCUAGUAAGUCAAUCUUAACUGUACUGUUCGCUGGCACACAUAAACGUCUCUCAAACAUCAACCCACCAUCAGAGGAUAUGGAGAACUCAUCAGUCUGCCCUGUUUCAACAAGGCGACGUCUCUCCAUCAAAUAAGGAUCAUUACUCUGAGCAUCAACAAUCUUGUGCCUCAGAGUCGGUUGCACCGUUAAUUGAGCUAGCUGUGAGGUGACUCUCCCCACAGACACUGCAAUCUCAGCUCUCUCCAAGUCUCGAUGCAAUGGUACCUGUCUAGUAAUGAGUGCUGCCGAAUGUGAUACUUUUCUACUAAGAGCAUCAGCCACCACAUUCGCCUUACCAGGAUGGUAUAAUAUCUCACAGUCAUAAUCUUUUACCAACUCGAGCCACCUUCGCUGUCUCAUAUUCAACUCCUUCUGAGUGAAGAAGUACUUUAGGCUCUUAUGGUCAGUAAAGAUUUGUAUCUUUUCACCGUACAAGUAAUGUCUCCAUAUCUUCAAUGCAAAAACCACUGCUGCCAACUCCAAAUCAUGUGUGGGGUAGUUCUGCUCGUGACUCUUCAACUGACGAGAGGCAUAAGCAACCACCUUACCUUUCUGCAUCAAAACACAACCCAGUCCUUUCUUGGAAGCAUCACUGUAAAUCACAAAACUUCCAGAUCCAUCUGGUACAGUAAGGACCGGUGCAGUAACUAACCUUUGCUUUAAGUUCUGAAAACUAUCCUCACAAGCUGGACUCCAAACAAACGGAGUUCCCUUCCUUGUCAACUGAGUCAAAGGAGUAGCCAAACGUGAAAAAUCCUCCACAAACCUCCGGUAAUACCCUGCUAAACCCAGAAAACUACGAACCUCACUAACUGUGAGGGUCGAGACCAACUGGUAACCGCUUCUAUCUUUGCAGGGUCUACUGAAACUCCCUCACUGGAAACCACAUGACCAAGAAAAGCCACCUGCUUCAACCAAAAUUCGCACUUAGAACUUAGCAUACAGUUUAUUGACUCGAAGAGUCUCUAACACCUUAUGUAAGUGUUCCUCAUGUUCGGCUUCAGUCUUGGAAUAAACCAAAAUAUCAUCAAUGAAGACUAUCACAAAAGUGUCCAAGAAAUCCUUAAACACCCUGUUCAUCAAAUCCAUAAAUACAGCAGGUGCAUUAGUCAAACCAAAAGACAUUACUAUGAAUUCAUAAUGUCCAUACCUCGAACGAAAAGCAGUCUUAGGAAUAUCACGGUCUCUAAUCCUCAACUGGUGAUAACCUGACCGUAAGUCAAUCUUAGAGAACACCGUGGCUCCCUGUAACUGAUCGAACAAAUCAUCGAUUCUGGGUAAAGGAUACCUGUUCUUGACUGUUACUUUAUUCAACUCUCUAUAGUCAAUGCAAAGACGCAUCGACCCAUCCUUCUUCUUCACAAACAAUACUGGUGCACCCCAAGGUGACACACUAGGUCGAAUAAAGCCUUUGUCAAGCAAUUCCUGUAACUGUACCUUCAGUUCUUUCAACUCAGCAGGAGCCAUCCUAUAAGGGGCUCUAGAAAUAGGAGUAGUGUUUGGCUCCAACUCAAUGGCAAAAUCAAUCUCUAUGUGGCGCAGUCCUGGAAGAUCUUUUGGAAAUACAUCUGGGUAUUCUCUUACCACAGGUUCUGAAGUUAAAGAAGUCUCACCUUCCCUAGUAUCCACCACACUUGCCAAAAUACUCCAAGUACCCUGGCUGAGUAGUUUACUAGCUUUCAUAGCUGAGAUUACUUUAGGCAGUACUACUGUUCCUACUCCCUUGAAUUUAAAGCUAGAUGCAGUAGGGGGACUAAACACAACUUCCUUACGAGAACAAUCAAUACUAGCAUGAUUAGUAGCUAGCCAAUCCAUACCUAAAAUUACAUCAAAGUCACGCAUAUCUAAUACCAACAAGGUUACGUCCAGCACACGACCAGCUAUCUCAAUUUCACAUGCUUUAAUCUUUUCCUUAGACAACAUAAUUUCUCCAGACGGUGUAGACACUGACAAAACAUAGUCUAAGGGUUCCACCUCUAAGCAUGCAUGCGUCACAAAAAGCGAUGAAAUAAAUGAAUGAGAAGAUCCCGAGUCAAACAAGGUCAAGGCAAAAUGCCCUAAUACUGGUAAUGUACCUGUCACUACUGUGCCGGCCUUCUCUGCCUCUGAUCUAUUAGUGGCAAAGAUUGUACCCCGCUGUGGAGGUCUCUCUCCCUGACUGCUCGAUCCAGCCCCAGUAGAUCUCAAGGGACACCUAUCAGCCAUGUGUCCCUCUUGCUUGCACUUAUAACAGACUCUCGUUCCCAUCAAACAACGACCCAGGUGGCGUUUCCCACACGUAUUACAUACUGGCCUCUCUUGAGUAGUGUCUCCUGCACCGCCAGAACUCUGCUGGAAACUGCGAAAAGAAUCACCUGGUCUCAUGUUCCUCUGAGGAACUCCUACAGUUCUCUGCUCUACUUUUCUCUUUUGACCGACGACGAUCCCUUAUUAAAGCUCCUUGGCUGUCUUUCAUCCUUCCCAAUACUCAUAUCCACUGCCAGACGCAGUGCUUCAGCUUGGGUAGUGGGCUUUAGUGCUCGCACAAAACCCCUAAUUUCAUCUCUCAAUCCCUUGACGAACCUAUCAGCUCUAGCCUGCUCAUUACUAACAAGCUCAGGGGCAAAACGUGACAGCAUAUCAAACUCCUGGUCGUACUCCUCGACUGUCAUAUAUCCUUGCUUCAACUCCAAGAAUUCCUGGCUUUUGGCGUCUCUAAGGUUAGCCGAGAAAAACUUGGUAUAGAAGCAGUUCUUAAACUGAUCCCAGGUAAUUUGCCUCACAUCUCCACCUAGCAUGCGCAUUGUAGUCCUCCACCAGAUAAUGCCUCUGUCCCUCAGUAGAAAAGCAGCACACUGAACUCUGUGCUCCUCGGACAUCUCAUGUAAUUAAAUAUGGUUUCCACAGAGGACAACCACAUUUCAGCUUUAGUAGGAUCCUCCAGUGACCCAUCAAACGUCUGAGGGUCAUACUUCCGAAAGUCCCUCAAAUGUUUCGCCUCAGCAGAAAGUUGGUUAGGUAAUUCUUGUGCAGGAGGGGCUGCUGGUGCAGGGGAACUACAGGUGCAGGUGGAACCAGGUGCCUGCUGGUUUUGAGCUAUAGCUGUCAUAAGUUCUGUAAACCUCUGCUCCAUGUGAGCAGACAGUGCAUCAAACUCAACGUGAGUCACGGGUGCAGCAGGAAUUCGCUGUUCAGCUUGACCCUCAGUAGGCUGAUUACGACCUGCUCCUCUACCUCGGCCUCCUGCUCUCUACGACCUCCUCUACGUACUUCUUCCCUUGGCGGCAUAAUUCCUAUUACCACCAACAACACUCUUUAACAAAAUCUUAAUCAUAAACAUAAGCAAGUCUUUAUCGUCAUGCAAUCUAGUUUAAUUUAGGCAAGGUCAUGCAAAUAAACCAUACAUAUAAGCAUCAAGCAUACCUGACGAGAGACGAAGGGUCGCGUUAGCCAUAGGAACACAAAAACAUAGACUUACAUCGUAAGUCAGUCUACAGAACCUAAAACUUAGGCUCUGAUACCAACUGUAACGACCCAACUUUUCUAGGUAAGUCGAGGUCAUUAAUUUUUAAUAAAAGACUUUAUUGAUACAAAAUGAAACGUAAGUCAAUUUAAAACAAUCUAUGUCAGGCCUGAUUUUCAAAUAUUCAAGAAAACUUAAAAAUAACACUAUUUACAAAUAAAAGUUUGUAAACUAAGUUUUAGUACAUCUUAAACCUUAAAAGAAACCAUAAGCGGAAGCAAAAUGACACAGUUCCUAUGGAAUCACGCUUCCUUCCUCCCCCUCGCCGGUUUGCCACCUUUAUUUCCUUUGCCUGAAAAUUAAACAUAAGAAGGGUGAGUAUAACAAUACUCAGUAAGAGACCCUUACUGUCUCCGUCAGGGAAAAAUAAUUGUUAAAGUUCUAUUGGGACACCCUGUACAGUCGCAGUCUUGUGAUCGCGUAGGAUACACAUUUCAGUCUAACGCCCCGAAGGACGUACAUAUCAGUCUAACGCCCCGAGGGACGUACAUAUCAGUCUAACGCCCCGAGGACGUACAUAUCAGUCUAACGCCCGAGGGACGUUCAUAUCAGUCUAGUGUUCUGCAGAAACACAUAUCAGUCAAAUGCUCCCGAAGGUGCAAAAUAAAUUGGUGAUCCUGGGACACCUACAAGGUAAACAUCCCAAUACACAACCUAACAAUUUAUCCCUCAUUCCAUUCAACCCAUCUUUCAGUUACUUCAAAUCACAAAGUCCUUUCUUCAACAUCCUAACAGUCAACUUAUUUUACUACAAUCAUAUGUCUGUCAAUAAUAUGCUAAUACAUCAGUCAAUUCACUAUACAGUCAAGUCAAUACACCCCUCAGUUCACCAGCACAAACCACAGUUCAGUAUAAUCCACAUCCACACCGAACAAAUUCACUAGUUCACAUCCAAUCUUUAUACAGCACAAUCUAUUAAUAUCAUCAUGUACACUAAGCAUAAUUUCAGUCAUUCACAUGUAUACUUUCGCAAUCCACAUCAAUUCACACAUCAAUGUAUAUAUAUAUGUUUCCAGUCAAAUACAACAUACACUAAACAUUUAGUCUGCAAUCAAACAUGUACAUCUUAAUCAUCAUCCAUACAGUCCAACACAACUCAAAAACUUUAGGUGAGUCCAGUAGAAAAUCCCUUACCUCACUUUUAUGCAGUUCUUCAAUCUACUAAAUCCAAUGAAUCAAAUCCUAACAUAAUCAAUCAUAAAAUCAACAUCUUCUAAAUAGUUUCAACCAUUCAAAUUACCCCAUAUGUAAAUUCACAACUUACCCAAGAAGUGAGAGAAUCAAGUCCACUUCAACCUUUUGGAAAAUCAAGGAUUCGCUCACUGAAUCAAGAUGUACCUUCAAGAAUUAAGCAUUUCGCCAACAAUUAAAUCCAAUGGCAGCAUCCAACAAAAACCAAGAAACCAACAAAAACCAUAACUUGUUCUUACCCAAAUAUGAGCCCAAUGGUUCACGACGAGGCAGAUCUGGACGACGAUUUGCUUUCCGAGGAGGCACGACGGUUGUGAGCGAAGAGGCACGGCAGUUACAGGCAGAUGGCGCGCGACGGUUUAGAUCUGAAGAAGAAAGAGAGGGUGGCAGUUGGGUUCGGCGAGCGGCGGCGGUUUUGCUUCGCGAACGGAGAUGGAGACGGCAGUUCGGCGCGCGGGACGAUGCAACGCAAAUCUGGACUGGCAGCGGCACGGUCUUGCUUCGCGGCUGGGUAUGGUGAAAAAGAAAGAGAAACGGAAGAAGAGAAGUCUCGGUGCGGUUGCUGGGCUACGGGCGGUUGCUGGGCUGCGGCGGAAGGAGAAAAUGGAAGGAAGAGAUCGGCGGAAAGAAGGAGAAGAUGGAUGGAGUCAGAUCGCACGGGGAAGAAGAAGGGAGAAAGAAAAGAAAAAGAAAAAGAAGAAAAAAAAAUAAUAAAGAAAUUUUAAUACUAAAGUAAAAUAAAAAUAUAUAUAUAUAAUAUAUAAUAUAUAUAUAUAUAUUUACCUUUCUUUGGGCAUUACAUUUUUUUUUUAAUUUUAGCAAAUAACAUUUUUUGCACGUGCAUAAUAUUUAUAAAAUACCAAAAUAUCCACAUUCUCCAACUAAAAUUAUUUUGUUUCUAUGUUGUAAUUAAUUUAUAUUAUGCAUUUAUCAACUUUUAAUUAUUUUUUACCUGAAAAAAGAUACAUAAACUCAUAUAUAUACUUUUUUCUUAAUAUCUCGGGACUCAACUAAUGGAUUCAAGACUUUAACUUUAUUUAAUCUUACUAAUUUCAAAAUAACCUAAUUGAAUUUGAAUUUCAAAAUAACCAAAUUGAAUUUCAACAUAACAAAAUUAUUAUUUUUCAAAUUUGAUAAUCUCAGAAAUAGAUUUUGUAUCAAAAUAACUUUAAUUGAAUUUCAAAAUUAAAAAAUAUCAACUUAUUCACUCUUUAUCUCACAAUAAUAUUAAUGGCUUGAAUAUCAAGAUAAUUAAAUUAUUGUUUUUAAAAUUGGGAGAAACUCAACAUUAAAAAAUAUCAACUUAUUCACACACAAUCACACGCGCACACACAUACAUACACUUGCACGCACGUGCACCCAUACACGCACACACACACGCGUGCACACACACACACACACACAAACGCACACAUGCACACGCACACCAAACCGCACGCACACAAAUACACACACACACGCACACUAAUGGUUCAAUUUCAUCGAUUGUUCCUAUUUUUCUGACAGUUUAUUUUUGCCAUCGAUAGAGGAUCUUCCGACAGACCUGCGUGACGGUGUGUGUUGACAGCUUAAUUUCGUUGGCAAAAGAAAAGUCGAUUAGUUUUUGAAGAUUUACUGACGAUAUUUGUCAUCGACAAAGGGUAAAUUUCUUGUAGUGCAUGUACAUCAAACAUAUCAAAUUUGUUAAGUGUACCAAUGAAGUAUAAGAAGUUUAUUAGUGGUGUAUCAAGCGUAUCAAACUUAUAAGUGAAGUCUUUAAGUGUAUCAAACUAAUCAAGUGUAUCAAGGUCUCAGGGUAUCAAGUGUAUCAAGAAGAAUCAAGUGUAACGAGAAGUAUUAUGUGGAACGAGAAGUAUUAUGUGUAUGAAGAUGUUUCAGGUGUGUAUCAAAAAGUAUCGAGUGUAUCAAUGAGUACCGAGUGCAUGAAUUGUAUCUAUCAAAUGUAUCAAGUGUAUCAGUAAGAAAUAUCAAGUGUAUCAAGCGGUAUUAGGUGUAUCAGACGUGUAUAAGGUGUAUCAAAUGUACAUCAAUAACGAGGGCAUUUGUGACAUUUUACCUCUUGAUGUGUGAGUUGGUCUUUGUUUUUGUCAUUUUCUCAAAUAAUAAAGUAUGUGUUCUAUGAACUUAAUUAUUAUAACUUACACUACUACAAAAACAGGCUCUCUUGACGUUUGCAGUUUUCCUUUCUUGACGUUUUUUUCAAAAAACGUCAAGAAAGAUUUCAUUUUUAAUAAAAAACGUCAAGAAAUUUUUUGAAACAUCAUUCUUGACGUUUAUUAAAUGUCAAGUAAAAUAAAUUUUUCUUUGACGUUUUUAAAACAUCAAGAAAUAUCUAUUAAUUUUUUGACGUUUUAAAACGUCAAGAAGCGUAUGAAUUCGACAUGCUUGACGUUUCUUAAACGUCAAGAAUUUAAAAUUUUACUCGACGUUUUAAAAACGUCAAGAAAUUCAUAAAAUAUUCAAGAAUAUUUUUUAAAUUACACUGAGAAGGUAUCGAAUUUUAAUUUUCAGCUCUAACAUUUUUCCUAAUCUACUUUUUUCUUCUUCACGACUGAGUAUUCGAGGGAGUCAUUUUUUGAAUUUGUUGACAUUUUUUAAACGUUAAGUAAGAUCAUUUUUUUUUUUACAUUUUAAAAAUGUCAAGUGUUAUUAAAUAAAUAUAAAAAAUAUAUUGGGCUAAUUUUAUUUCUUUAAAAUCUCUUUAAAUAUAUAGAUACAAUAAUAAAAAUCUCUUUAAAUAUAUAGAUACAACAAUAAAAAUUUCUUUAAAUAUAUAUAGAAAAAAAAUAUUGUACUAAUAUUAUUCAGAAUCACUUUAAAUAUAUAUAGAAAAAAUUAUUGUGCAAAUAUUAUUUUUUAAAAAGCCCUAGCCCCUUUCUACUCAAAACACGCGUGUUCCCCUUUCCCUCUCCAGCCGAAAUCCUUCCCAUUCGAAAAAAGUGUGUUCAGCAGUCGUCGUUCGCUUUCAACGCCUAUCCGUUCGCCUUCAACGUCUGUCCGUUCGAUUUCACCGUCGAGUUCCACCUCUUCGAAUCCCUCACGUCCGUCGUUUCAAAGUCCUUCGUCCGCUGCAUUCCAUCUUUCCAAAAUCCCUCAGUGCCUCACGCUACUGCGUGCCCGUCAUUUCGACUUCACCAACGAGUGCCUCACGUUCGUUGCUUCAAAAUCCAUCAUCCACUAAGUUGAGGUUAGGCUUUUAUUUCCCUAAAACAUAUAACAAUUUCAUUAUUCUUCAUUAUAUAAACUCAGAUGGCAUGAUUGGCAAUAAUAGAUAGGAAGGAUGGAGGUGUAAACUUCGAAUUGAUUGAAAUUCGUAUACUUUUAUUCAAUCUUUAAAGUACUGUAGUUUUUCUUCACCAUCAAAUUUUAUUAGGAUUUAAAGAAAACAAAUGAAUGUAUGAACAAAUUUUUGGGAGUGCAUGUCAUAUAAUCAACUUCCCUCUUUCAGUAAUUUUGAAGAUCUCAUAUAACAAUACUACUAAUUGAGAGCUUUGGAGGAUGAGUCAAUUCUUCUCCCUUCGUGAAAAGAAAAAGAAAAAAAGAUCAUGUAUUCUCUUUGUUUGUUACCUUAUGUUGUCCAAGGUUUUGCCUUCUUCCUUAAUAAUUUGGAGGUGUUUUAACUAAUUUUUUCAUUCACCCUCUUUUUGCCAUAGUUGCUUUUGUGUGCAGCUUGAGAUUUUUAAUUCAAUUGUGUGUUUUUACUUUUUUCUAUUGGGUGAAUUCUGUUUUGACUUUUUUUAAGCUAAAUAUAAUUAAUUGUUUCCUAUGGAACCAUAACCUUGAUCUUGGUUAUAGAUUUCAUUUUAAGGUAAAAGUAAAACACUCUUAUUUGAAUGAUUAUGUUGUAUUAUCCAUUGAAAGACUUGGUGUUGUAAUUGCCUUGUCUUCCUCAGGUAUUCUGUUGUAUGGUUGAUUACGAUCUUCAUGAUUGGAAUCUUUGUUUAGUGAAGCUCAUUUUGUUUGAUUUACUCAGUCGUGCAAUUGCUUUCUUUUUUAUGAUCACUUUAAAAAAGAAAUGAGUUUAGUUAGUUCUUUUAAUUUUCUUAAGUUUCAUUUGUAAUGCAUGAAAAUCUCUUAGCAGUAGAAACUGAAGACCAUAAUUGUAGAAGAUUUGUAUAGAUUGGAUUCACAUUCUCAACAUUGGUUAUACAGGCAUUACUUAUCAUUGUCCUUCCACUUUAAUUAUCAAUAGUGACAAUAACUUUAUUUCUCAUUAGAUUUACAAUGAUGGAUAAAUCUUGGAUGCACAAGAGUAGAUUGUCUAAAGAUUAUGAGUUGGGUGUGGAAAACUUCAUCAAAUUUGGAUUUUCUAAUACAACUAGCUCCUAUAUUCGUUGUCCUUGUUUGAAAUGUGGGAAUUGUGAAAAACAUAGUAGAAAGGGUGUUAGAGAUCACUUGUAUGUUAAUGGUAUUGAUGAAAGUUAUAAAUUUUGGUUUUGGCAUGGGGAAGAACUUCCUAACUCAUCCUUCUAUGAUGAAUCUUCAAAGUUUGACACCCAUACAUGUGAAGAUCAGGAUGUUGGAAGUGUAAAAGAAAUGAUUGAAGUUGCUCAUGAGGAGUAUUCAAAAGACCCAACUGGAUUUGAGAAGUUGCUUAUUGAUGCUGAAAAACCAUUGUACGAAGGAUGCAAAAAGUACACAAAGUUGUCUACUCUAGUCAAAUUGUAUAAUUUAAAAGUUAGGUAUGGAUAGAGUGAUACUAGUUUUUCAGAAUUACUUGAAACUUUGAAGGAAAUUCUGCCUAAUACCAAUGAGCUCCCGAAUUCAUUGUAUGAAGCAAAGAAAACAUUAGGUGCAUUAGGAAUGGAAUAUGAAAAGAUUCAUGCAUGCCCGAAUAAUUUUGUCUCUAUAGAAAAGAAUUUGCUAAUGCAAUUGAAUGUCAUGAAUGUUGUCAAUCAAGGUGGAAAAACGUCAAGGAUACAAAUGAAAGGAGAAAGCAAAUUCCCUCUAAAGUGAUAUGGUACUUUCCAAUCAUUCCACGAUUUAAAAGGCUAUUCAGAAGCAUUGAAUGUGCUGAAAACUUGACUUGGCAUUCUACUGAAAGAAUUAAUGAUGGUAAGUUACGACAUCCAGCCAGACUCUCCAGCAUGGAAGUUAGUAGACAUGAAAUGGCAAGACUUUGGUUCUGAACCCAUAAAUCUUCGUUUAGCAUUGUCAGCCGAUGGAGUAAAUCCUCAUGGUGACAUGAGUUCUAAAUACAGUUGUUGGCCGGUAGUGAUGGUUAUUUACAAUCUUCCACCAUGGUUGUGUAUGAAAAGAAAGUACAUGAUGCUAUCAAUGCUAAUUUCAGGACCAAAACAACCAGGGGAUGACAUAGGCAUAUACUUAGCACCACUAAUUGAAGAUUUAAAACUUUUAUGGGAAAGUGGUGUUGAAUGUUAUGAUGCUUAUCGAGAAGAACCAUUCAACUUAAGGUCAGUUUUGUUGUGGACAAUCAAUGAUUUUCCUGCAUAUGGUAACCUUAGUGGAUGUUGUGUGAAAGGGUAUAAAGCAUGCCCAAUUUGUGGAGAUAAUACAAAUUCUAUAAGGUUAAAGUAUGGGAAGAAAAUGGCAUACCUUGGACAUCGUAGAUUUUUGGCACGAAAUCAUCUGUAUCGACGACAAAAGAAGUCAUUCAAUGGUAAAAAAGAACUUGAUACAAUUCCAGAGCCACUUUAUGGGGAGGAUGUGUAUUUAAAAUUGAAAGAUCUUGAAUUUUCUAGAGGGAAGAAGAACCAUAAGAAACGGUUGAUGAACAGAAGUGACAAAAUUUGUUGGAAUAGAUUAUCUUCUUUUUUUGAGUUGCCAUACUGGAAGGAUCUUCAUGUUAGACAUUGUUUAGAUGUGAUGCACAUUGAAAAAAAUGUUUGCAUGAAUAUCUUAGGUACAUUUCUUGAUAUUCCUGGAAAAAGUAAGGAUGGAUUGAAUGCUAGACGCGAUUUAGUUGAUCUAAAACUUCGACCAGAGCUUGCCCCUAUCAGAAUAUGUUACUCCUACUAAUUACUUUCAUUAUGUAAAAAAGACAUCUAAACGUGAGGAUGAGAUUAUACUUGAGAAUAAAGAACUUCGAAGGCGUGUAAGCGAAUUAGAAGCACAUAACCACUCAAACUUGUCUAGACCAUUAUCUGGACAUGGUAGCUGUUCGAAGCCAAAUAUCUUAGAAGAGAGUGACUCGAUGAAAAUAAUCAAAGGGAAGAGUAAGUUGAUGGAUAAAAUCGAAGGGAAAGAGGUGGAGGAGAUCAAUGUAAAUGACGACAAAGUAGAGUUGGACAUCUUUAAGGUAUGUGAUCGAUCCUCUAAUAAACUCAAAUUCUUAAUAUUCAUAUCAUAUUGAAAGUGAAUGUUUUUCUUGAAUUAGGAGAGAGCCUUAAUAAAAAUGACUAAGGAAAAAGAGGUUGUCUGUGAAUCGACGUCAGUUUUGCCAAUGGGAAUGAAGUUGAUUCUCAUAUACGUUGAGAAGAUAAUGGAGAAAGAUUCUAGUAUCACUAUUCCACUACUGUUGGCAUUUUUGGUAUUAGUCGAAAGACUUCUGUUCUCCGAGAGGACAUCAUUGAUCUUUGUAACAUGAAUGAGGUCAAAACAUUUACAUUGGUGGCCUAUAUGACGUAAGUAUCAAUUUCAUUUCUUUAGAUCUAAAUUUAUGUAUCUCGUUUACAAGUUUAUAAUAUUUUGUAGGUACUUGUAUUCAUCUGUUCUUGGUUCGAAGGAAACUAUACAGUAUGUCUUUGUAGAUCCAUCCCUCACCUCUGUCGGACACUCGCAAGAAUCUCGAGUUCGACACUUAUGCAGUAGAUUGAUGGUCUCAAAGAUUAACGAAAUAGUUCUUGCUCCUUUUAAUCCUGGGUAAGUCAAGUUAUUUUAUUACUUGCAUUGCAAAAAACUAGUACUAAUAUUUUGUAUAAUUAGGGGUCAUUGGGCACUGCUGGCCAUAAAUGCAUAUGAUGAUAUAGUAUUUUACCUCGACUCACUAAGGACAACAUCGAAGUCAACUAUAAGAUACGUCACCGACACGUAAGUUAAUCUAGUAUUUCAUUUAGUGUUGAUUCUUAUAUGCAUGUACACAAUAUUUAAACUAUUUGUUCAAUCUUAUCUUGUCAAAACAGAGCAAUAGCGAUGUUUCAGUCACAAAAGAACAUUAAAAAAAGUAGAAAACAAACUUUAUGGCUAACAGUAAAGGUAAGUAUCAACUUUUAAAGUCAUUAAAUUUUUGUAGACUACUAGCAAUUAGGAUUACUUUGUUAUUCAAAUUUGUUGCUUUUAUAUAGUGUCCACUGCAAGGAAGUAUUGAGUGUGGAUACUAUGUGAUGAGGUAUAUGAGAGAAAUUGUGACUAGGGGAAGCAUUGUCAUAUCCGAUGCGGUAUGUUAUAUAUCAAACUAUUGGUUUUGUGAGUUAAUUGGUUUAUUUGUAUAGUCAGUUAAUUCAUUUAAUUUAUUUUGUAUGUUUAUUGAUUGAUACACGAAGAUCAUACUCACAGGCAGAACUACACGAGGUGCGAGUUGAGUUAGCUGACUUUUUGGGUUCUUACAUAUGAUUAUGACCAAUAUUUUGUGAUUCUGAAGUAGGAAAUUUUUUGUUGUGUCGCUUCUUUAUGACCCUAAACUUUAUGUAUAGAAACUUUAGCCGAUAAUUCUUUUGAAUUGUUCAUAUGGAGGAAGGGGGGAGGGGGGUUCAUUCGUAUAUAUUUUUAUUAUUGUUAUAGCUAGCAUGUUUUGUGACUUUUUAAGUUGAUUUGGAUUCAUGGCAAUGUAAUGCCAUAUGAAAUCUAAUGUAAAGCCUAUUUCAUUAUGUAUAUGUAAAGUCUUGGAAUUGAAUAUAUAUGGUGAAUGGUUUUAUUUAUAUAUGUUUGAGAUUUGAAACUAUAUUUGAUGAAUAUCAAAUAUCUAUGAAACUGUUGUGGACAAUUACAGGAUAAUUACAGGACAAUCAGAAUAUAUUUCUUUCCAUUACAGCAUAAUUCAAUUACAAUUUCUUUUUUUAAAAAAAAUUAAAAAAUGCUUGACGGUUUUAAAAUGUCACGAACAAUUGCAAGCUUGACGGUUUUAAACUGUCAUGAACAAUUGCAUUUUUACGGUUGACAAAUGUCAAAACAAUUACAUUCUUGACAGUUUUAAAAUGUCAUGAAUAGUAAAAUUCUUGACGGGUUUAAAAUGUCAUAAACCAGUUCAUCCUUGACGGCUUUAAAAUGUCAUAAACAAUACCAGUCCUGACGGUUCUAAAACGUCAUGAACAUAAGUAUAUUUGACGUUUAUAAAACGUCAACGUUCACUAUUCUUGACGUUUAAUCAACCGUCAAGAACUUUGCCUUUCUUGACGCUGGCUUCAACGACGUUUUUAAAACCGUCAAGAGAGCCGUCUCUUGAAGUUUAAAAACGUCAAGAGAGCCUGUUUUUGUAGUAGUGUUAUUUUGCCAUUUUCGCAAGUGUCCCUUAAUUGUAAUACAUGUAUAUGUGACAUAAUCUAAUCAAACUAACCAUAAAUGGACUUAAUGUAUCAGGUAUUAGGUGUAUCAGACGUGUAUAAGGUGUAUCAAAUGUACAUCAAUAACGAGGGCAUUUGUGACAUUUUACCUCUUGAUGUGUGAGCUGGUCUUUGUUUUUGUCACUUUCUCAAAUAAUAAAGUAUGUGUUCUAUGGACUUAAUUAUUAUAACUUAUUUUGCCAUUUUCGCAAGUGUCCCUUAAUUGUAAUACAUGUAUAUGUGACAUAAUCUAAUCAAACUAACUCAUAAAUGGACUUAAUCGAUCUCAUGGACCACGAAUUCUUCAAUUACUUGCAAAUUUGGUGAGUUCCUUCAAACAGUGGGCGAAGAGCUUAAUUUUGAGAGAGAGGAAAAGUCGUGAAGAGUAUAUGCGAGAGAGGGGGAACGUGCCAGAGAGCAUUUGCGAGAGAGCUAAAGACAGCGACGAUGUGGGAUGAAGUAAGGUUUUUUUCGGUCGUUGUUCACAGUGGGAUGAAAGCUUCGAAUUAUUUGUUUUAAAUCAAAAGGCGUAAUGAUUGAAGGAAAACAUUUAUUUUUUAUUAGGGUAAUUUUUAAUGACACAUAAUUUAUGUCAUUAAUUAACAAUGCGAAAAUUUUGUCAAGAAAACUCAAUUUGUGUCACGAAAAAUUUUGUAUUUUUAUUUUUAACGACACAUUUUAUUCCCUCAUGUCCCUUUUUCUUGAUUUCAAGUGUCAUUAAAACUUAUUGUUGAAUAAGAAAUUUUGAGACCAAUCACAAGUUGCCACAUCAUUUAUUAAGUUAAUGAUGAAAAGUACAAAUAAUUAAAUUUGGGACUAAUUAAAAUUGACAUAUGCUCCAAAUUAAAGAGUUGAAAAUAAAUAAAAUGGUCAUUCUAAUAAUGCCACAUGUUUUCAUAUUAAUAGUUGGAUUAAGUUAAUCAUUUUAGUUCAAUUAAAUAUUAUUUACUUGGACUAAGUUCAAUUAAGCCCAAAAAAUAAGCUUAAUUGAGCCCAAAGACUAAAUAUAACCUAAGUCCAUAUGGUUGAGCCCAUGCGUCUGGUCCAUGGACCAACUAGGUUCAAACCCAUAAAGCCCACCAGUGAACUCUAUAAAUAGAGGAAUUCUCCUCAUUUGUAGGGGUUGGAAAAUAUUGACUCUAGAAGAUCCAGAGAGAAUUCUUCAAAGAGCUAGAAGACUCCCUAACUCCUGAAGUUGACCAUCCUCGAAGAUUGAAGCUUCUUUAAAGAUACAAGCUUUCUUCCAAGGCUUCAACUUCAAGAACAUCACGUGCUUCGCUUCCUCCAAAUCAAGCUGAAGCAUCCAGUUGAGAGAGAAUCAGAGGAUCAAAUUCUAGAGAUUGAACCGCAUCGCAUCAAAUCAACAAAAAUACAACAUCAACUCAAGUUCAAGUCCACGAAUUAAAUUUCUCCAGAAAUCUCGUGCGAACAAAUUGGCACGCCCAGUGGGACCAUCUCUACCUCUCAUCUCUCUCUCAUCAUCUAGAUCUACAAGCAAAUCAAUGGCAUCAAAGAAAGUUGCAUCCAAAUCUUCAGCUGCAAGCGACACCUACACGGGACCUAUCACCUGUAGUCGUUCCAAGGGGAUCAUCCAAGGGCAAGACCAAGGUUCCGCCAUCGCGCAGAGCAUCCUGAAGCAAUUAAUGGAAUCUCCUAAAGCUGGAAUUGUCAUCAAGGAAAAUCCUCUAUAUAAUGAUUAUGAUUCUGCCUCUAGCAGGUCACUGAAAGAAGCACACCCAGAUGUGAUGUCCGUCAUGAUGGCUGAUGUAGCAGUCGAGACUGCCAUGGCGGAGAUGGAGAGAAAAUUAAUCUCCUGAUGAAGGUUGUUGAUGAACGAGACCACGAAAUUACAGCUUUAAAGGAGCAGAUGCAGACUCGUGAAACUCUGAAUCGAGUCAAACUUGUCGUUAAAGUUGAUGACAAAGGGAAGAACGUGGUACAAGAAAAUCAGCCACAACAACAAUCAACUUCUGUGGCUUCUCUCUCGGUUCAACAAUACAAGAUAUGAUCACAAACUCCAUCAGAGCACAAUAUGGAGGCCCAUCUCAGACUUCUUUCAUGUACUCUAAACCAUACACCAAAAGAAUCGACAACUUGAGAAUGCCGCUUGGAUAUCAGCCUCCAAAAUUCCAGCAGUUUGACGGAAAGGCAAUCCAAAACAGCACGUUGCUCACUUCGUCGAAACAUGUGAGAAUGCAGGAUCAAGAGGAGAUCAACUAGUCAGACAAUUUGUUCGAAGCUUGAAAGGAAAUGCUUUUGAAUGGUAUACUGAUCUGGAGCCAGAAAGCAUUGAGAGUUGGGAACAACUAGAAAAGGAGUUUCUCAAUCGCUUCUACAGCACCAGGCGUACUGUAAGCAUGAUGGAGCUUACAAAUACGAAACAAAGAAAGGGAGAACCAGUCAUCGACUACAUCAAUAGAUGGAGAGCUCUAAGUCUUGACUGUAAAGAUCGGCUCACCGAACUGUCGGCUGUAGAAAUGUGCACCCAAGGCAUGCACUGGGGACUCCUCUACAUUUUGCAGGGAAUAAAGCCCCGCACAUUUGAAGAACUGGCAACUCGAGCUCAUGAUAUGGAGUUGAGCAUCGCCAGUAGAGGAACUAAAGAUUUUCUUGUUCCUGAAGUAAAGAAAGAUAAGAAAGAGAUGAAAGGUGCUGAAAAGAUAGUGAAAAGCACCGCGAAAGAAUCUAUGGUCGUAAACACAACCCCGCUGAAAUUCUCCAAAGGAAAGGAAGCGAGGGUUGAAAAGAAGGAUGAUGGAAGCGAAAGGCGACGUCUGACUUUAAAAGAAAGGCAGGAAAAAGUUUACCCAUUUCCUGAUUCAGAUAUCGCUGACAUGCUAGAGCAACUACUAGAGAAGCAGCUGAUCCAGCUGCCAGAAUGUAAACGACCUGAGCAAGCAGGAAAGGUAGAUGAUCCCAAUUACUGCAAGUAUCAUCGGGUCAUCAGUCAUCCAGUAGAGAAAUGCUUCGUGCUGAAGGAGCUAAUUCUAAGGUUGGCUCGUGAGAAAAGGAUUGAGCUAGAUUUGGAGGAAGUAGCUCAAACAAACCACGCUGAAGUGACGAUAAUGUCUGAGGCUUCUUCGUCGAGAUUGAUUUUUGAGCAAAGGAAAAGCUUGGUCCAGUUCGGGACCUUUGAGCCUAUAGUUGUCCAAUUCUUUCAGGAAAUCUCAUACGAGGAUCCUCAAGGAGAGAAAAGACCAAUCGAAGAAGACGAUGAAGGGUGGAUAGUGGUGACCCACCGAAAGAAAAGACAGUCGAUCCCGACCCAAAGAGAGUCUCGCUCUUACCAAAACUAUAGAAGAGGAAAUAAGACUCAAAAGAAUAAGAAAAAGAAGAAGACUCAUAAGCUUAAGCUCGUACAUAAUGAAGACAUGAAUUUCUCUCGACCUCAACGCUUAGUGACCUUGCAGACUUCCUUCCAAAAAGCUUCCUUUGUGAUCAUCAGGAUGAAGACCCAGAAGUCGUUGCGUGUCAUGCUAUCAACACAACGGAGGAAGAAAUAAUCCCUCCAAGAUCACUAGAAGGAGAGGGAGUAUCAAAAGACCUUUCAAGGUUUAAUGUAGAGGAUCUAUUAUCACUUCCUCAAGAGACCAAAACCAUCCUUAUUGAUGCAUUGCUAAAUUCAAGAGCAUCAAGUUCGAGUACUCCGACUAUGACAUAUGAGAGUGGUUCUUAUUGUAUGUCUAUAGACUUCUCAGAUGAGGAUUUGUUGUUGGGAUCUAAACUUCAUAAUAGACCUUUGUAUGUUUCUGGAUACGUUCGAGAACAGAGAGUCGAUCGAAUCCUCAUUGAUAAUGGCUCAGCUGUCAACAUAAUGCCAAAGUCGACUAUGUGGCAAUUAGGCAUCUUGAUGGACGAGCUCUCAAAUAGCAAGCUAGUAAUUCAAGGUUUUAACCAAGGUAGCCAAAGAGCAAUAGGCAUGAUACGGUUAGAACUCAUAAUUGGCGACCUAAAGGCCAGUGCAUUGUUUCAUGUCAUAGACUCAAGGACUACUUACAAGUUGUUACUAGGGCGUCCUUGGAUUCAUGGAAACGGAGUAGUAACUUCAACACUGCAUCAGUGCUUCAAAUUUUAUCAGGACGGUGUAAAGAAGGUUGAAGCCGACUCUAAUCCAUUCUCAGAAGCUGAGUCUCACUUCGCAGAUGCAAAGUUUUAUUCAAAGAAUAAUAAUAUUUUAGAAGUUUUGCCUGCAGAAACCCCUCUUACAAAAGGAGAAGAUAAUUCACAACUGAAAUCACUCGCAACCACAGAACCACAUGAAAGUGCGAGAACCUUUAACUCUGGAAAGGGUGAAGCAUACACUAGCAGCACAAAGGGUAUGAUCUUGAAGGAUGAAAAUGCUGCAAACACACCAGUUUUGCGUUAUGUCCCUCUGUCAAGGCGCAAGAAAGGCGAAUCACCAUUCAUGGAGUCUCCAAAAGGUUUGAAAGUUGGUGACAUCGAAAUCAUAAAAGAAAGCUUCACUACACCACUAACUAAGAUAGCGAAGCAGGAGGUAAAGGUAGAUCUGGUGGAAGCAAACUUGCCCCAAAGGCGAACGAAAGACGGAUUCGACCCCAAGGCUUACAAAUUGAUGGCGAAAGCAGGUUAUGACUUCACAGCUCACACCGAGUUUAAAAGCUUGGAAAUUCAUGACCGACCUGAGCUCUCCUCAACUCAAAAGAAGCUUCUACGGAAGGACAUUCUAUACCCGUGUCGAGAAAAGGACUCGGAUACAAGUCGCCAGAACCGAUCCGUAUAACUAAAAAGGGAAGGAAAAAGUGGUUGACAUCAAUCAUAUAACUAUAGAGGAUGACAAUACUGACGUAAAAGAAGGUGAUAAUCAGAGAAUCUCAGUAUUUGAUCGAAUUAGACCAUCUGUUGCACGUCCCGUAGUAUUUGAAAGGCUAAGCAUGACAGAGGCAGAAAGAGAAAGGCUCCAGUCAGUACCAAACCUUGAGAGACAUUCGGUCUUUCGAAGGCUAACUACGACUCCCAUAAAGGAAGAAAGCACAUGCCAUGCCUUGACAACUACAAGACCAUCAGCCUUUGAAAGGCUAGGUGUGUCUAAAAAAAAAAUGUACAAGCACCCCGUGCUCCGAUUUUUAAUCAUCUCGGGGAUAAAGGAUCACACGACAACAUUGAUUCCAACAUAGCAAAGAAGAAGGAACCAAUGUCUCGUGUGAAAGUUUGGCGUCGAAUUAAGCAUACAGAUGUCGAUAAUUAUCGUAGUAAGAAGUUUCCUUGCGAGACAAAGGAAAAUGGAGAAAUUCAUAGCAACGUUCCUUCUCGCAUGAAAAGAAAAACUUUUGUUACUCUCAAUACAAGUCAAGGUUCGUUAAAGGUAAAAAGACAUGAUGUUAUACUAACGAAUCCUGAAAAAGAAGGGUCGGAACAAGGGGAAGGUGAAACUUCAUGUCAUCACAUCACCAUUAUUGAGGAAUCAGAGACUGGAACUCAUGAAGAAGACGCAGAAAAUGCCCCACAAAGUUUAGAGGAUGGUGGUCAAUCUACUGUAGACGAGCUAAAAGAGGUGAACCUUGGUACAAUAGAGGAACCACGUCCGACUUUCAUUAGUGCGUCCCUCUCUAACGAAGAGGUGGAUAAAUAUAUGAGUUUGCUCACCGAAUACAGGGACAUCUUUGCGUGGUCGUACAAGGAGAUGCCAGGACUUGACCCAAAAGUAGCAGUCCAUCAUCUUGCAAUUAAACCGGAUAUCGACCGAUUAAACAAGCACAACGACGUUUUCGACCGGAGCUUAUCCCUCAAAUCGAGGUGGAAGUCAACAAGUUGAUCGAAGCAGGAUUCAUUCGCGAGGUCAAAUAUCCAACGUGGAUAGCAAACAUUGUCCCUGUUAGAAAAAAAAAUGGACAACUUCGCGUUUGUGUAGACUUUCGCGAUCUGAAUAAUGCAUGCCCUAAAGAUGAUUUUCCCUUGCCCAUCACCGAAAUCAUGGUUGAUGCAACUACUGGACACGAGGCGUUGUCGUUUAUGGAUGGGUCGUCUGGAUAUAAUCAAAUACGGAUGGCCCUCUCAGAUGAAGAAAUGACAGCUUUCAGAACUCCAAAGGGAAUAUACUGUUACAAGGUGAUGCCCUUUGGAUUGAAAAAUGCCGCGCUACUUAUCAACGUGCCAUGCAGAAAGUGUUUGAUGAUAUGUUGCACAGGUAUGUUGAAUGUUAUGUUGAUGAUCUUGUAGUCAAAACAAAGAGACGACAAGACCAUUUGAAGGAUCUAAAAGUCGUGUUUGAUCGCUUGCGAAAAUAUCAGCUAAGGAUGAACCCUCUCAAGUGUGCGUUUGGUGUAACUUCAGGAAAAUUUCUUGGCUUCAUUGUAAGGCAUCGAGGGAUCGAAAAUAGACCAGUCCAAGAUUGAUGCCAUUCAGAAGAUGUCAAGACCUAAAAGUUUGCAUGACCUAAGAAGUCUCCAAGGACGACUGGCUUACAUCCGAAGGUUCAUCUCUAACUUGGCCGGUCGGUGUCAACCUUUUCAAAAGUUGAUGAGAAAAGGAGAAAAUUUUGUGUGGGAUGAAGCUUGUCAGAACGCUUUUGAUAGCAUAAAGAAAUACUUGCUUACUCCCCCAGUGCUGGGAGCUCCAGUACCUGACAAACCACUAAUAUUGUACAUUGCUGCACAAGAAAGGUCCUUAGGAGCAUUACUGGCACAAGAAGAGGUAAAGGGAAAGGAGCGUUCUCUCUACUAUCUAAGCAGAACAUUAAUUGGGGCUGAAGUUAACUAUUCUCCUAUCGAAAAGAUGUGUCUUGCACUUUUCUUUGCCAUUGAUAAGUUGAGGCAUUAUAUGCAGGCCUUCACGGUUCAUCUAGUGGCAAAAGCAGACCCUAUAAAGUAUGUUCUAUCCAGGCCAAUCAUCGCUGGACGCUUAGCCAAAUGGGCGGUUCUACUCCAACAAUAUGACAUUGUCUAUAUUCCCCAAAAGGCGAUAAAAGGACAAGCGCUAGCAGACUUUUUAGCAGACCACCCAAUUCCUUCGGAUUGGAAGUUAUGUGAUGACCUACCAGACGAUGAGGUUUUCUUCACAGAAGUUAUGGAACCUUGGACUAUGUACUUCGAUGGUGCAGCUCGAAGAAGUGGUGCGGGGGCAGGCAUUGUCCUCAUUUCUCCUGAGAAGCAUAUGUUGCCUUAUAGCUUUGCACUUUCCGAAUUGUGUUCAAACAAUGUGGCUGAAUAUCAGGCUUUGAUAAUUGGCCUUCAAAUAGCAUUAGAAAUCGGAGUGUCAUUCAUAGAGGUCUAUGGUGAUUCAAAAUUGAUAAUCAAUCAACUCUCGCUUCAAUAUGACGUGAAACAUGAAGACUUGAAGCCAUAUUUUGCUUAUGCUCGACAAUUGAUGGAAAAGUUUGAUAAUGUGAUGUUAGAACAUGUCCCUAGAGUAGAAAAUAAGAGAGCGGAUGCAUUGGCAAAUUUAGCCACGGCCUUGACCAUGCCAGAUGAUGUAACUCUGAACAUACCACUUUGUCAACGAUGGAUUAUACCCCCAGUUAGGCCUGAAUGUCAGGAAGUGAACAUGGCAACAUCCUAUUUGAUUGAUGAAGAAGAUUGGCGUCAACCCAUCAUAGAGUAUCUUGAACAUGGAAAGCUUCCAAAGGAUUCUCGUCAUAAAAUUGAGAUACGAAGAAGGGCAGCACACUUCAUUUAUUACAAGGGAACUUUAUAUCGCCGUUUUCUUGAAGGGCUCUUCCUUCGAUGUCUCGGAAAGGAAGAUUCGGUAAAAGCUCUAAAGGAAGUACAUGCAGGUGUUUGUGGAGCACAUCAAUCGGGACCAAAGCUUCAAUUCCAGCUAAGAAGAAUGGGCUACUACUGGCCUAAGAUGAUCCAAGAUUCAAUAGACUAUGUGAAGAAGUGUGAGCCUUGUCAAUACCAUGCAAACUUCAUACACCAACCUCCAGAACCUCUUCAUCCAACUGUGGCUUCUUGGCCUUUUGAGGCUUGGGGACUCGAUCUGGUUGGCCCCAUUACACCAAAAUCAUCAGCAGGACAUUCUUAUAUCCUAGCAGCAACAGACUAUUUUUCAAGGUGGGCUGAGGCCAUUUCAUUGAGAGAAGCCAAGAAGGAGAACGUGGCAGACUUUAUUCGAACACACAUCAUCUAUCGAUACGGUAUUCCACAUCGAAUCGUGACGGAUAAUGGAAAGCAAUUCUCCAAUAGUAUGAUGGACAAGUUAUGUGAAAAAUUCAAAUUCAAGCAAUAUAAGUCAUCCAUGUACAACGCAGCUGCGAAUGGACUAGCAGAAGCAUUCAACAAAACAUUGUGUAAUCUUUUAAAGAAAAUUGUCUCCAAGUCAAAGAGGGAUUGGCAAGAAAAGAUCGGCGAGGCAUUAUGGGCUUAUCGGACGACUCAUCGCACCCCUACAGGGGUUACACCAUAUUCGCUUAUUUACGGUGUGGAGGCUGUCCUUCCUCUCGAAAGGGAAAUUCCGUCACUAAGAAUGGCAGUACAAGAGGGAUUGACUACCGAAGAUAAUGUGAAGUUACGUCUUCAAGAAUUAGAAGCACUUGACGAAAAGCGAUUAGAGGCUCAGCAAGCAUUGGAAUGUUAUCAAGCGAGAAUGUCCAAAGCUUUUGAUAAACACGUUAAACCUCGCUCCUUUCAAGUCGGUGAUCUAGUACUUGCCGUAAGGAGACCGAUCAUCACAACAAGGCAUACAGGAAAUAAGUUCACACCUAAAUGGGAUGGACCUUACAUUGUUAAAGAAGUUUAUACAAAUGGCGCAUACAAGAUCGUUGAUCAAGACGGACUACGAAUUGGCCCAAUCAAUGGUAAAUUUCUUAAAAAAUUUAUGCUUAAUUUUGUUAGGUAAAAAAAAAAAAAAAAAAGUUGAACUACGUUAUGACUUGAUCCCUAUAUUAUAAAGGGUACGUAGGCAGCUUAAGGAAAACCUUAAGCCCAGUCCAGCAAAAAAAAAGUUGAACUACGUUAUGACUUGAUCCCUAUAUUAUAAAGGGUACGUAGGCAGCUUAAAGAAAACCUUAAGCCCAGUCCAGCAAAAAAAAAAAGUUGAACUAUGUUAUGACUUGAUCCCUAUAUUAUAAAAGGCAGCUUAAAGGAAACUUUAAGUUCAGUCCAAUAAAAAAAAAAGGAAGAAAGACAAAUUACAUUUAAUAGAAAAUAUGAUGAGGAGUGGAACAAUGAAAGAAUAAUUUUUUUUUUAUUAUUAUUAUAAACUUCUAGCAAAAAAAAAUUAAAAAGGCAUAAGUAGAUAAAUAAGAGAAAGCAGAGAAUCAUGGAGUCCAUUUAAAGUUCUUCAGCUCCUCUAGUGUGCUUUCUAAAGAUUCACGAAGUGUUGAUAGCAUUUUAGCAUCAAUAUCUCCAACGAUCGGGGCACAUUCGAGUUUGUCAAUUUCCUCACAAGUCUUCGAAAUCUCAUGUUGCUUCUGCUUCAGCUCCAGGUCGUUCUUAAAAAUUAUUCCAGAAAGUUUAGCAGACUCAACCCGCACCAUCUUUAGUUUUGCCUCUAGUUUAGCCUCCUUAGCGGACAGUCGUGUAAGACGACGUUUAGCAGUGUUGGUCUCUGCUAAUAUACGAUUCUCAUCAACUCGCAGAGUCUUCACAAAACCUUUUGCCUCCGUUAGCUGAACAUCCUUAGUUGAUUGGAGUGGAAAUGAGGAAUGUAUUUGAUUAUGGUUCUCGACACCUUGGAAGUAACCAUUCACAAGCUCCCUCAAAACAAUAAGGUUGUCGCUGCCGUUAGUCGCAAUCGCAUCAAAGAUCUUAUGCAUUUCUGGUUCAAGACUACUCAGUCGUUCAAAAGGGGUACGAAUGAUCUUCUGUCGUAGGUUUUCCCAUAAGGUUAUGGCAGCCUGUCGUCGGAGGUCAGAAAUUAAGCUGUCAGCACAAAAAUGAGAAAUCUCAGAAACUGUAAUAGGCUCUGUGCCUUCCACUUUUUGAGGAGGUCCCUUGAUCACAGGAGGACAAGCAGACACAAUAUUUGCGCCUAUAGGUUCCUUAGAGUUCCCAUUAUAAGAAAGUACAACGUUACAGUCUUCUAGAUUCAGCAUCAACUCUAGGGUAUCUUCGAUGUGUAGGUCAUGAUCACCUAAAGAAUACUACAAAAUAAUAUUAACAACAAGAAAUAAGGGGAGUAAAGGAGAGAAAAUACAAUCAAUAAAUAAAUAAAAUUGGGAGACGAAAAGAAACCAUGGGGGAAGGGACAUCGAAAAAUUGUGCAGCAUCAGGGACCCGAAUAGGAGACUCUUCAUCAUCGAUCGACUGUUUGUUAGGCUUCUUGGGUCUCUUCCAAUGGCGAUCAUCAUUGCUGCUUUGACUGUCCUCAAUACGUUUAGAAGGAUGCUUGGUAGCUAUCGAUAAGCGGUUGUCCUUACCCAUAUUGUCAAUACCACCUUUAAUAAGAUGUUUAAAUCGUGUAGAAAGAGACAAAUUAUCCACCAAGCGUUUUGUCCCUCCCUCAAUUUUCUCCACAAGUCGUUCAUCAGUUUCAUCGGAGCAUAUCUUCUGAUUUCCACUACCAAAAUUAUGUUCAAUCUUUUUUGUGGUUUUGGAUUUGAUGUGAGGGGGAGUAGGACGAUCUAUCAAAUGUUGUACUCCUUCUUGGAGGUAAUCACCGUGUUUUGCAAGCCACCAGACCUUAUAAUGAGAGGUAACAUGUGUGUCUGGAUUAGGGGCAGACACAGGAAGAUAUACUUGGGAAAGUGUAUUCUCGCGAAUACAAAUCAUCCAACAAUAUCGUACGUUAAAAAAAUUGGCUUCGGGAAUUUCUUCACCUAAGUCAUAUGGCACGUCUUGAUAAAAUCCAAAUGGUCGGCUAAAGCGACAAGGACUAUAAGGCUCAAUAACUGUGGAGGAUCCACAUUGCGAGGAUAGAAAACAAGAGCAAAUGCUUAUGAAAAAUGAAGCAUUCUAACUAAUUAACUCUCCAUCAUCCGUUAAGAGUUCGUCCUUAUUCUUUGUUGGAAGACACGCAUGCCAUGACACAUACUUUCCCUUGUGGAUAUGUGUUCGAGCCUCAAGAUUAGUAUAAUAUUUGGCCCCACCUUCACCAGAAAAUUCAACCAUGCGAGGACCCCUAAGACUCCUAGGGGCUUUAUAAUGAGUGUUGAAGUAAAGAGCAAGCCACCCAUGGACAUAGUGAAGAGGAAAACAGGCAUUUGAAUAACCAAGUGAUGAAGUAGAAUCAUGAACUUGGCGUAGGCCACUAUAAAUAUUAGCUAAAACAGGGACGGCAAGGCUAAAUGUGUAGCCUUCCGCCAUGAGGCUAGCAACCUUAAAAACCUCCGGACGAAGGGAAAGUUGCUUAUCAGGGAACACAAACACACAUAGCCAACAAGAGAGAAAUGCCGCUAGAUAGGUUUUGUCCCUAUGAUCAUCAGUGACGCUUAAGUCAAGGAACACUUUGAGUUCAGCUUUAGACCAGUCAGGACGUCUGAUGGGAAUUCCAUCUGGAUUAUGAGUUGAGCGAGGGCGAGAAGUCUUUUUAGGCUUUCGAGGAGGCGGUUUCGAAUACUUUACCUCAGAUCGUGUAACCCAAAAAGAGAUCCAUUCACUUACAGUGAUUUGAGAGUGAUCCAUGCGUUGAGAAACAAUGCGGUAAUAGGCUGCAAAUAAAUGCUCACAACUUCUUGGACAUACAUCAGGUGAUCCUAUUAAGUCUUGGUGGCAAGGAAUGCUUUCUUCAUAAAAUCUACCUUUAAUCGGGAGUCCUCCUAGUAUCCAUAAGUCCCAUAAGGAGAUGGACAUCUCACCAGCUGAGGUGUGAAGAGUGUUUGUUGAAGGACACCAUGCCUCGCAGAAAGCCCGAUCAAUGUCACUGUUGCGAUCAUAUGUAUAUAGGGAAGCCAUCACAGCAUUAAAUAGGGAGGCUCGCUUGAGUACUGCCGUAUUUCUAGCAACAACGAGCUCUAACCACUCCCAAUAAUGAGGAAGAUAGUAAAAUUCUCCAUGUACCUUGAGCACAUUUCCCCAACGAAUUUUUGGGUCGUUUAUAAUUCGACGACCCAACGUUGAUUCUGGAUCCUCAUUUGGAGGCUUGUUGUGAAUCGAAGACUCCAGAAACCAAGAUUUUAAAGAUGAAUUUGGAUUUACAAACCGUUCCUUGGACCAUUUAGGCAAAAAGAUAAAAUUGUCCUCGGGUAUUUGAGAGUCCAUAAUAUUCUCAUAUGUCCCCUCUCUCACAGGAAGAAUGAUCCCUUCCUCUAAAGAUUGAUCUACGUCCUUCAGGAUAAUUAAACACCUUUUGGUCGAGUCAGAAUACUCAGUGAAGUGCACCAUGAUGAAAAGAAGAGUUCCUGCAAAAUAAUAAUAAUAAUAAGAAGAAGAAGAAAUAGAAAAAAAAAAAAAAACCAAAACAAAAAAAAAAAAAAAAAAAAAAAAAAAAAAAAAAAAAAAAAAAAAAAAGAAAGAAGAAAAAAAAAAGAAAGAAAGAAGAAAAAAGGGGGGGGAAGAAAAAGCAAAUGGAGAUUGAAGCCCGACGAUGACAGAGUCGAUCUCUCCUACUAGGGCGAUAGAUCUGACGGCAAAAGCCCGAUCGUCCCUAGAAGAAGCUCAACAAAGUCAUUUCUGCAAACGAAGAUCGAAGCCCGACGAUGACAGAGUCGAUCUCUCCUACUAGGGCGAUAGAUCUGACGGCAAAAGCCCGAUCGUCCCUAGAAGAAGCUCAACAAAGUCAUUUCUGCAAACGAAGAUUGAAGCCCGACGAUGACAGAGUCGAUCUCUCCUACUAGGGCGAUAGAUCUGACGGCAAAAGCCCGAUCGUCCCUAGAAGAAGCUCAACAAAGUCAUUUCUGCAAACGAAGAUUGAAGCCCGACGAUGACAGAGUCGAUCUCUCUAACUAGGGCGAUAGAUCUGACGGCAAAAGCCCGAUCGUCCCUAGAAGAAGCUCAACAAAGUCAUUUCUGCAAACGAAGAUCGAAGCCCGACGAUGACAGAGUCGAUCUCUCCUACUAGGGCGAUAGAUCUGACGGCAAAAGCCCGAUCGUCCCUAGAAGAAGCUCAACAAAGUCAUUUCUGCAAACG